This 52451-nucleotide long non-coding RNA is filed under the name Phoenix dactylifera (date palm). Its description in RNAcentral is "long non-coding RNA (PDAC_LNC004889)". The record is from RNAcentral. Lineage: Eukaryota; Viridiplantae; Streptophyta; Magnoliopsida; Arecales; Arecaceae.
AGAAAGUUGAGAAGAACAUAGGAAGGAAGGAAGGAAAGAAGAGGAGAGAAGGGUAAAAGAAAAAGAGAAUGGGGAACUGCCUCAACCUUCGACGAGCAAAGAGGUCCGACGGUGGAGAGAUGGACGACAUGGCGUUCGACAGUCCCUUUUGCUGCCAGGAGGGGAAGAAUCGAGCAGUUUCUUCUUCGGUGGUGAAGAUUAAGAUUACAAAGAAGCAGUUGGAGGAAUUGUUAUGGCGAGCCGACAUGGAAGGGUUGCCGAUCCAGCUGCUCCUAAGCCAUCUCUCGGAAGAGAGCGAUGCUGGUCGUUGGAAUCGGAAUCGGCCAUGGAGACCAACCCUUCAGAGUAUAGCAGAGGUGGCGGAGUAGAAAUGAAUGGUGGCCCUGGGGAUGUUUCCAACCAUGUUUGAGUAGUAGCUGUUUCCAUGUUUCUGGUUCUCUUAGUCUCUGCAGAGAUGUUUGGGUCAUUUGAGCUUUUUUUUUUGUACAGAGUAGAAUAGAAGUGAGGUGGCUUAGCCCACCAGAAGAGAGCUCAGGAAGCUAUAGAAAAAUCCUAAUUGCAGCUGUAACCCGCACACCAUUCUUUGGGCUAGUGAUAGUGGUUAAACAUGAAAAUAAUACUGUUCAUUAAAGGGGAAAUCUUUCAGUAUUUUCACUUCUAGCUAUUCACCAUCCACAACCACACCCCACACCUCUCACACACGCCAAAAAAAAAAGGGGAAAAGAAAACAACAACACAAAUUCUGGAAAGAGAGCAAUUCAUGCCUACCAUAUCUAAUUAUGGACUGCAAAAUUAAAAUUUAAGUUAUAUAAAUUUAAACAUUUCUUUCUAAAAGAAUUUUGAAUGUGCAUCACUUAUGCACCAAAUGCUCCUGAAUUUGUAGUUUAGCUAUUCAAAGAUCGCUAAUAUGCUCCAGUCCCUUUGGGGCUUAUGAAACGUAGUAAAAUCUUUGGAAUAAUGAACUUGAAUUGCAAAGAACAAUAUAAGUAUUUGUAAUCAAUAUUAACAGCACACUAAUACAAGAUCAGAAAUUAUUUUUGAGCAAAUCUACAAGGUACCUCAAUCUUUUCCAAGUCUAUUGAUUCGUACUGGGUUCAGUUCAGAUGAAAAAUAAUCAAGAAAUUGAUUAUUAUGGUGAACAUCAAAAGAAUUCAAAUUAGCAUAAAGAUAAUCGACUUUUAGGCCAACUUGAUCAAUUGUGUUACGGUAAGUUGUUGGUUUCUUUGCAUAAAUCAUGUAGCAACCGGUAUGGAUGGGAAAAUAUCUCAACUCAGGCAUCACGAACUGACCGAACAGAUGAAAGAGUCAAUAUUUGCCGGCAUAACUUUUAUUUAUUGAACUACAAUUUUUUGACAUGACUUGAUAGAGUGAAAAUAAGAUUUCAUUAUAUUCUACAUUAUAUUCUUAAAGAAGAAUUAUUUUUUAAAAUUAUCUAAUAAUAUAACGCCCAGCUGUGCAAAAAUUUUAUAUUCUAAACCUGCAGUUUACCUCCUUUUGUCCGUCUGCGCCACCCUAUUAAAAAGUUCUGUUUGCCUCUCAUUAAACAAAGUGGAAAAUGUCAUGAGUUGAGCAUAAAAAGUUGGAGAGAAGAAAUAACCAACAGGGAGUGUUUAGGUACGUGCCAAAUGGAAUAUCACUUGAUCUCCUGAUACAAAGAGCAUAUCAUCAUUUCAUCACGGUACAAACAAGACGGAAAAAAAGAACCUUAUGUCAUAAGUUGAGCAUAAAAAGCUGGACAGAAGAAAUAACCAACAGUUGUAUUUAUGUACAUGCCUUAAUGGAAUAUCACUUUAUCUCCUGAUACAAAGAGCAUAUCAUCAUUUCAUCACGAUACAAACAAGACGGGAAAAAUGAACCUGACAAGAGAAACAAAACACGCUUCGGAUUCAUUUUUGCGCAACAGGUACCUCUACAGGAGGUAUGAUGCUUGGAGUUGGUAUCAGUGCCAACAUUUGGUUCUUAAUUAUGCCCAUACAUGUCUCUAUCUCCCUGUAAAUUGGAAGGUUCUGUGGACAACAUGGCUGAAGACUUGUGACUGCAGAAUCAAGAAUCUGUGCAAUCUCGGCAGGUGGGUAUUGUCUCUCGGUGCAGGUCUGUUCGACAACAAUGACAAACUUUAGGAGACAAAAGGUAUACAAAAUAACCCGUAUAUUAACAUAGCAAUGGCAAUAAUAUACAGCGAGGAGCAUUGACCCACUCAAAUGAGAGAAAUCAAGCAAUACUAGAAUCCAUGUAUAAACUACUUGUAAUAUUAACACAGAGAGUAGAUAAUUAUUGCAUAGUUGCAAUAGUUAGAUCCUUAGGGAUAUGUCAAUUUGUCCAGAAAUGUUCAAGACUUCCAACUUCCAAAUAUCAUAUCGAGUCAUUUCCAAGUGGCCGUAUGUGUUAGCCCUCCAAAGUUUCCAAAAUACUGAUGCUUAAUGCAGACUUGAAUUGGAAUUGGAUCUUAAAAUUAUAUGCUCUUUUUUCUUUGGCUCAUCAUCAAAUACAUGCUGGGACCCUUACGAUAAAGGAAAAGGCAUAUCUGCUUUAUGGUGUCUAAAUUAAGUUGUAAAUAUUCAUAUCGGACCAUAAAUGGGAAAAAAGACACCGAUGUCCCUCUGCAUUAAUGUUUUUGCACUUCUGGAUCUCAUUUAACAUAUAUACACACACACACACACACAUACACACAAACACCCAUACUGGAAUAUACAAAACUUUUUUGAAUGAAUUCAAAAGAAAAAUUGCUCUAGUACUAACAGGCUCGAUAACCAAAUAAAAAUCGCUACGACAAUAUCGCUCUUACGAAAUGAGAAUUUUGAUAUUGAUUAUCAACGGCUUCACAAAAUUUGUUAUGAGAAUACUUCUAUAUGCUGGAUCAAAUAAAAUGGGUAACUGAAAUUUUUUAGUAUCAGUUAAGUUAUAUCUCCUUAGGGGAGAUUCAAAGGCUAUUUCAUUUAACCUAUGGUGUAAACUUUCAAGUUAUGCACUAGAAUGUGCCUUAGAAAGUUAGAAUAUAAGAAUUUUAAAAAGAUCAAGAGUCGCAGGCAAGCUGAGUUCCGAUCAAGAGUUCUAUGUCACACAAGAGAUUAGAGAUGGACGAGUUUCACAUACCAAUCUUCAAAAUUUUAAAACAUACAGCCAUAUGACAACCACCACAGAUUAUACGGGUGUGUGUUGAAUAAUAAUAUAAUUUCCAAGAGAGUUUACCUGUAUCAUGAGCAAUGUAGCGACACAUGAUGAAAUCAGAUCUGAUGGAAGUUGGAUCUCUGAAUCAGAAGAAAUAUGGGGUUUUGGACUAGCAUGAACUGUUGCCUCAGACAUGCAUGAUGUUGUAUGAUCUUGAUAUGCUGAAAUGCCAUGUCCUGGAUCUGGAGGAUUGCGUCUUACUCCAAAUACACCAGAAACAGGUCCAGAAAUGCGGUUGUUAGCAGAAUCUAAAGCCUCUCCAAUCUUAACAAAAGCAUCUUCUCCUUCUUUCAAAGCACACAUAGCCUGAGAAGUGUAUCAAGACAAAUGCAUACUCUUAGAUAUUCUUUGGAACUAUAAAUUUGACAAACUACAGAGAACUUGUUCCCAGAAAGCAAGCAUCUAAAACAGGCUAAGAACUGAUAAUUGGUUCUACGUUUGUUAGACUAAGAAUACCACUGAAUUCUGAAAUUCCAAACACUGAACCAACAUAAGAGACAAAAACAUAAAAAACCUGAUACAGAGAAAUGAUGAUGGUCAAACCCACCUGCAUAGCAGCAUCAACUACCGUUCUUGCUUUCCGCCUUGAACUUUCAACAAUCUCAGCUACAUGAGAUCCUGAAUCCUGAUUGAGAAAAGCUGAUGGAUUGCAAGAGUCUGGAGGUCCAGCAGCCCCCCCUGAAUUCUCAAUGGAUCUAACCCAUGCAUGUGUUGAAUUCCCAUGGUACGUGUUGCGCUGCCUCAAAGAGAGCAAGGCCGAAGCAACCUAAUAAUGAAAACAAAAGACAAUAGCUUUUGGUCCUAAAGACUUUGCAAUAUAGACAACAAAAAUCUAAGGAAAAAGAAAAAUGUGCAAUUAAAACAUGAGUGGCAUAAGGUCCAUGAAUGAUUCUUACCUGAUCAUUGGCAUCUCUUAGCUGCACAAGCACCAUAGCAUAUUGCUUUCUAAAAUGCUCCAAAUCUUUAAUGGCAUCACCAUCCUUUUGCUUUCCAGAAACUUCUUCAUUCAUGUGCCUCAGUUCCAUCAGCAAAGCUUCCUACAAAACAUUAACGCGUAGCAGUUCACCAAUCUCCGCUAAUUUCAGUAGUCUUAACUUAAAGAAUCCCUAAAAUUUUCUUCAUAACCACUUUCUGAUUUAUGAGCAAUAAGAACAGAAAGAAAUCCACCACAAGCAACAGGCACCAGAUGUAAGUUAAAGGACAAAAAUGUUUUGCAAUAUAAAUCUAGCAAACACAUCAUAUGCAAUCAGCUGUUACAAAUGUAUAUUGUUAUGAAAUUCCAAAAGAAGCAUUUACAAACUAGAUAGGAUCUUUUGAAUUUAAAUGUCACUAGAAUAGCUUAUAAUAUUGUGAAAAACUACCCAACCAAACAACAAAUCCUGUCCAACAUAUUUAGGGUUAGAUACAAACAUAAAUGGCAAAAUAUCAAAGUAGAAUCAUCUGCAUUGAUUAAAAGCUUUCUCAACUGGUACCAAAAAGAGAGUUUGUGGACAGGGGUGCAUGCCUAACUGAAAUUUAACAGGCAUCAAAUGGCUAACAGUUUACAUGGACAGCUGUCAGACAUGCCUAAGGAAUGAAUGCAUAAUGAUAAGAAACAAAGGUCAUAGCCAUGGUCUGCCGUACCAGUCCGUACCGGCCGGUACGGGCCGGUACGUACCGGUCCGGCCUGGGACCGGUACCGGAUCAGCGUGGAAUCCGGUACCGAUAGUUUAUUGUUGAAAAACCGGUAUGGGACCGGUUCCGGUAUGGCGGACCUUGGUCAUAACACUUGUGAGUUGAUCUCUUAUUUUAUCUGGACAGCACUAAUAAUAUGUUUUAGACCCACAAAUCACAACUUGACCUGUAUACACAGGAACCAUUGGACUUUGCUCCAUUGCCCAGGUAGGAAGCAUCCCUGUAUCAGCAAGUUAAGCUGCUUCCAUUGAUAUCACUAGAGCAGUCAUGGACACAAGAGAAGACCCGUGGUAAGAAAUGAAUUUGUAAAAAUGAUACGUUCAAGAGAUGAAUUCAUUAUAUGUUAAUAAUAAGUAAAUAUGGCACAACUGUUUAUGCUGGAAUGCAGUUAUUUUAUUCCUUCAAACAUAACGUUUACAGGAAGUGUCACCUAGACACUUUAAAAAUUAGCCUUUUUGAUGUAUCUAGUCACAUGGACACCUAUAAGCUUCAUAACACUCCUUCACACUUUAAAUCAACAAACAAUGAUAGUAAACUAUCAACACUUGACACUUGACCAAGGUUCCAAAUCUCAGGAUAUGACCCUGUACUAUUCAUGUACUAGUAUUGUACCACAUAUGCUCCAGAUCUACACAUAGUUUGCUGAACCAGACCAUACCCCAAUGUUGAUACAAGUCAAUAUAAUGGGCAACAUGGAAAUUUGAAAAUGAGGAAUUACAAUGUCGAAUUUAUAAAAUUGAACAUAAACUACAAGGUUUAAAGCGAUUUUAAAUAUAUAUAUAUAUAUUUCUCCGGGAAUUCUGGCAUAUGCCUUACUAAUCCCAAAAUCAGAAAGAUGUAUCAAACCAUUAGAAGUUUAGAACUUUUAAUUUAAGAUGAAUUGAUUCAUAGGCAAGAUGUCUGCAAAAGAUGUGAAUAUUUUGUUCAUAGACACUUUAAAACUGGCACAUUGUAUUGAGCAGUUCCGAUUUCUGUUUUGCAACCCUAUUUUGAAUUUUAUAGGGUGCAUGAAUUAUAAGCCCAUAAGCCCACAAUACAUGUAGAUGUUUUUUAUGCUUAUGUCCACAUCAAUGCUCUUUAUGGUGAAUUUUGGAGAGUCUCUUAUUUGUUUUAUUAACUUGAAUUGCAACCAUUAAGUAAAACCUUUCUACCACCAACUGGCAGGUUUCACAACAAGCACCUUUCUUGCCUAACUUAGCAUUGGCCUAGAAAACCACACCCAUUUCCAGAGGUUGACACCAGAUCGAACUGGUCAUUAAAUGUGCCAAGUCCUUGGAGCCUUCUCAACUGACAGGUAUGCUUUCUGCUCCAUAACUUACCUCAAAUUCAACAGGAAAAGGCUUUGACAAUAACAUCUCCUGCUUUAUAGUAUGAAAAAAGCAGAUAACAUAAUGGUAUACAGAAUGUUAUACACGGAAUCAUAACCAUCAAGCCUUAUGGCAAAUUUCUAGGGUCAACAAUAAAUUUUCCCUAGGACUUUGGUAGCGAAGGAUAUAUUGCAGUAAGAAACCCCACCACAAGGAAUUGUUACCAACAAGCAUUACCUUUUUAUCAAGGGCACGCGACAACUCUGCAAGGACUCUUAUGUCAGCUUCUCUUUCUUGUAUUUGUGACAAUGUACAAGGCUGACUGUACAUUGCCUGUUGUGCAGCAACUGCAACUUCAUUUACAGUAGCUUUAGCCUGUACAAUGGCAUCAAUUGUGUCCCCCUGUCAGAAAGGUUCGCCCGUUAGGAUACUCCUUUACAAACCAUCACUGUUCAAAACAGAAAAGGAUACAGAAUGAAAAGCAAAAAACCUUUGCCUGCUUCAUUAAAGUAUGCAUCGGAUAACUAGAAGAAGCAAUAUUAGAAGACCCAUUUGUAAUUUCCAAACUCUCAGCUGGAGCAAACUUCAUGGAGCCUCCAAUCUUCCACUCCUUGGAUCCAUCAUCUAGCUUUGUAUCUGAGAAGCUGGUGCAAAACUUAUUCGCAACAAUAUUCUGUCUUCUAAGAGCUUCAGGAAUAUUUUCCAAUGGGUUCAGUGGCAUGCAGUCGAUAUCCUGGAAAUAGUAUUGGUGAUUACACAAUAUCCAGGAGCUUGCUAUAAAAUUCAGAAGUCACAAAUCACAUUGAAUCUUUUGUCAAUAAACAGCAAAAACAUUCAUUUGGUAACCAACCCUUAGAAUCCAAAACAAAACAAAAAAAAGAAGCAUCAAAUUGCACUUGAAUAGUAAACAAUAAUGAUCAAAAAUAAACUAUGAAACCCAAGAAAAUCCAAUUGCUUCAAUAAAAGAGCACUACCAUUUUAGUAUUAAGAUUUUCUCCACCAAGAGUUCAAGCAUCGCUGACAUGGGGCAUACCAGCCAGCGGCCAGCCCUAGCAUGUCUUCUCAUGCCUACAUGUGCCAUACCAUACCGAAGAAUAAAAAUCAAGAAACAUACAUUUUGGUUCCUAAAACAGUUAAUAGACUUUACUUAAAAAACAGAUAAUAUUUGCUUAUAAACAGGUAAUAUUUAGGCAUAUAUAUGUAUGUGUGGGUAUCUAAAAUACAUGUACAUACUAUAUGAAUUUUGAGCCAGGGUGAGUGGGGCUAUCAAGCUCAUAAAUCAGUGGCCCAAGCUCAACACGGUUUUAAAUGGGGCCACAAAUUUGAGACCCAAGCUCAGCCAAGCCAAAGAAACAUUAGCCCAACCUACUUACAAUACAAGCUGGGUUGAACAGCCAUUGGCUGGCCAAGCCCAAUUUGCAUCUCUAGGUCUACCAUACCAUAAGUCCAUAACCCAACCAUCAAUGCUAAGGGAGUUACUUUAUCUUAGAGAUACGAUCCCCUUGAACUUAAGGGACAUCCCCACCAAGAAUUUGACAUAAAAGUGACCGAUGAUGAACAAACAAUAGAUCUGGUGAUGAAAAAGAAGCUAAAAAGAUAGAAUGGAAUGAAUAAGCUACAAAAAGUUGUAUAUGAAGAUUAAUGGAAGACUUACCCUGUGUUUCGUUGGGUUCAUGAGAGGGAGGAUAUAUAGGGUUGGAAGGAUGGAUGGCCCCCAUCCACCAUUUGAUUCAAAAAAAAAGUUAGGAUGGAUGAAAAUGAGGGAUUGCCCAUCCAUCCUGACCCACCAAUUUGCAUCGAAGGAUGGAUGGAAAAUGUGAAGGUGAGAUUCUACAUUGCCAAAAUUGCCCCUCAUUAAUUUUUGACAAAACUCUAACACUUUCACUUUUUCAUUCAUUUUAUUUAUAUUUUUUUUGUUUUACCUAUACUAUUAACCCUAUACUAUUAAAUUUUAUUACUAAUUAUUUUAGUUUUAGUGCAUAAUUUCCAUAAUUAUAAGCAAAAGAUUAGAAUUGUCUUCUAUUUUUCUAUUUAUAUUCACUUAUUUUUGGUUAAAUAUUUAUAUAAAAUUGAUUAACUAUUUUAAUUAAAUUAUAAAUUAAUUAGCCAUUUAUAUAAUUAAUAUAUAAAUAAAUUAAUUCAUAUAUAACUAAUUUAUAAAAUCAUUUAUUUAACGAGAAUAAAUUUAAAUUAAAUAUUUAUAUAAUUUUUUAUAUAAUUAUAAAUUAUAAAAACUAUAAGUUUAUAUAUUGUCCUCCUUUAGUAUAAAUAAGUGUUAUAAAUUGAUAAUAAUAAUACUUUUAUUAAAGGGUAGUUAGUAAAAAUGUCAUAUACAUAUCAUCCAUCCUGUCUUUCAUUCCUUCUACACCAAAUAAAGGAAGGAAUCAUUCCUAUGCAUCCUUCCAUAUUUCACUAAAUAGACGGCUCCCUCCUCCAUCCAUCCAUCCUCCAAUCCGUCCUUCAUACCAAACAGAGGAUUAAGGUGCCAAUCAAGGAUGUAUCUAAAUGCAUGGACAGAUGUAUGUAUGUAUUGCGCAUGCUUGCGUGCAUGUAUGUAUGUGUGUGCACACUGUGUAUGCCUCUAUGUAUCUGUGCAUGUAAAUCAGUAAAUGCUUAUAUAAAAUAUUCGUCUCCUCACAGCUACAAGUUCGUCCUCAAAUUGUAAAACAAUAAAUUUGAAUUAGGGAAUUUAAUGAUGUAAUUUCAAAAAUAUAAAUAACAAGGUCAAAGAUUCCAAAAACAAUAAGAACGAACAAAACUAAUUAGCUAAGCAGCAGCUGUUUUAUAACGCAAUUACCAUCACAAGCUCGACCCCUAAUUCAGGCCGAUCAAAUUGAACUCUGCACCGGUUCCGGUCAACAGUCAGAAUACUUCCAUCAUGAAUUUCUCUUGUUUUGGGAUGACAAGCGAUAACACGUUGCCCAACUGAUAAAGGCUGAGCCAGAUCUGUUGGGAGUCCUUCUCUAACACCAGCUCGAAGUUCAGCAUAAUGCUUCCUUACUGAUUCCCGAUAUUGCUCAAGCUUCUCUCUUUCUUCCUGCAAAAACUGUUUUGACAACCUACGUGGCUUUCCAAGAGAACUGCGAUAAUGAACAAACAAGCAUUUAGGUAAACAGUCUCAAUAAAACAUAAAUACGAAAUAUGAAAAUACCUUCGUAUGACACCCCACUCGAUACGAGUUAGCCUUGGCACAUGGCCCAAUCUCACAUGAUUUAGGUACUCUACAAACUCACUUUUGGCAAACCAAGGAUAAUCUAUCGCACUGUAAAACCAUUCAAACAUACACCAUCUACGCAACAUUCGAGAAGACAAGCUGUGAGAAAGUUUUUGCUGCAAGAAGUAACAUCAGACUUUGUUAAAAACUUCUAGCUGAGUAACACUUGGACCAUAGAAGAUAAAAUAUAUCAAACCUUGAGAUCAACCACCCUGUUGACAGGAUGUGAGUACUUAUCAGGACGAUUGCCUACAGUAUUCUCAUUGGACUUAAACUCCUUCGAUCUCCAUGCUUUCUGUAGACCUACCUUGCGGCGGCUUCUACUUUUGGUUAGCAAGCUAACAGGACAAGUACUAGAAGCCUGUACAAUUGUUUCGUUUGAAUCUGUGACUGGUCUAACUAGAUCAGUACUUGAAGAAGAGUUCUCCUGUGGUUUAACCAAUUUUGCUUGCUUUGGUGAUGAACUAACUUGACUAACACGUCUAGUUUUACUAAUCAAUCUCUUCCCUUCUUCUGGUGAGACCUGGAAAACAAGUGCAUCAGAAGAAAUAUUAAUAGAAAUCCAUAACUAGAACUUCGUGCCAUCUUAUUUUCAGAAGGAAUUCAUCUAUCAAUUACUCCAUCAGAGAAAGAAAAAACACAGUCAGCAUAAAUUAUUCUCAAAUUGCAAAUAGUAAAUAAAGUGAAAUAUAAAUAUAAGGCAAACAAAGAAAACUAGAAAACUAACAGAAAAGAUGAAAAUAGAUUGGCAUGAAGAAUUUGAAUCAAAAUUUUAGAAAAUGAAGUUCUUCUUUUUUAUAUUCUGGUUUUUGUGUGUGCGUGCCUUUUUUUUUUGGGCGGGGGGGGGGGGGAUAUGCAUCAACUUAAAUGUAUUAUUUUAAUCAGUCAAACCAGAUAUAUAUCAAUUUUGAGCUUAUUUUUGUGGUUAAUGCUUAAACGUAGUUAUGAAAUGUUAGCUUGAGCAACAAUUGCUUAAAAUUAUUUUAAUGCACAUUUUUAACAACAAUAGAUAAAUAUAUCAAGGAAGACUUGUGUAAUCCUAGAUAAAAGCAAAACUAAAAAAUAAUGUUCACCAAUAAUAAUUAAUAUAAGUUUAUUAAAAAAUAUAAAUAUAGAAUAAACCUUGACAAAUGUGAAUCCUUUUACAAAUUUGUGAAUCUUUUUGCAAUGGGGUGUGUCAAGUAUUAGAAUCAUAUGGCACAAUACCUCUACCGUGCCAAUGUUUAGCUGGCACCUACAUAAUAUGUAAUACUUAAUUACGCCUCCAUGGCAAUCGCUUAACCAUGAAUAUGUGAUACUUAAUUACGCCUCCAUUGACCUGAGUUUUGAGAAGUUCUAGUAUACAUGUAUGGUUACUUUAGCAAAAUUAGCACAAAGAGUUGUGCAUCUCUUCAUGUCUACCACUUUCUGACAUUUAAUUACUUAAUACUGUUGUUUAUUCUUUUUUUAAUCAUCGAUUCUUUUUCCAGUUUUUAACCUUCUUAGUCAAAACUAGCAAAAAUAAUUUAAUGUCCUCUUUUGAAUGUAUUAGGCAGAAAGUAUUAAGGGGAAAAUGUUCCUCCUACUCCCCAUCAUUACCACAUGUGAAUUUGGACCUUGUGAUGGUUAAGAAGUCCAUAAAAAAAUUUCAACCACUAGCAAGACCAUCGACCAAGACAUCUGAGCCUUUUCAUGAAAGAAGGGUACAAAGGCUAUCCAAGAAGCUUUAAAAAUGCCACGUCAUGAUUGAAGCCUGAGGGUGAACCAUGGCCCAAUGGCACCGUUCCUCCAUGGUCGCAAGUUCGAAACACAGAAGCAGCCUCUCCACAUGCAAAGGUAAGGCUGUGUAAAUUUGAGCAUCCCUAGACAAAACAAUGGCAAGAGCCUUGUGCACUGAGCCGCCCUUUAUGAUUGAAGCCUCUUUUAUAAAGGUUCUUUUUGCAUUAGGAUUUCAAAUUGCUAAGUCUUAUUAUUCACAAAAAGACUGCACAUGAACAAGCCUUGCUAGAAGGCCAUAAGUAGAAGUCAUCAAUAAUGGCAACGAGAACAGCAUAGGGCUAAUCAAAUCUAACAAUUAUGAAACACACACAAACAAGACCAAGAGCUCAUGCAUACCAGGCAGAAUCAAAGUUAUCUCCUCACAUUGGUGCUAACUAACAAAAUAAGGUACAACCCGUUUUCAUUGUACAAGAAAAGGGGGAUAUAAUAGAGUUUAUUUCAUGCAUUAUAUAAUAUAUAGACUUACUAAAAGAAGCUAAAUAUCAAUGUAUCGAUUUGCAUAUAGUACAUUUGACAAGAAAUAGCCAGCUGAAAUUCAACUAUAAUAGAAAGAAAAAAAGGUCAAUCAGAGUCUUUAAAACUAUUCCAGAAACAUUUUUUAGCCAUCAUAAUAAGAAAUCAAGUUAUGAGGAAAAAAAGGAAGAAAGAUUAAGGCACCUCUAUCUUCUGUGGUUCACAUUUCUGAGAAUCACCAUUAAAUUCACCUUUUGAAGCCUGCAAAUGGUAAAAAUAAAUAGGUAGAAGUCAUAAAACAAAGGCAGCUCAUAUCCUGCCUGAAAAAGACAUCUCAUACACUGAACAAAUGACGGUAAGUGCAAAAAAUGAGAUGGCAAUAUCAUGUUUAUCAAAACAGUUGCAUUAGAAUCUUACUUUUCCAGUCGAAGACUUCCGUUUUUUUUUCUGCAUCUUACUGGUGCAUGCACAAGUUUGCUGCUUCACUUCAGAAAUGGCAUUUACAUCAUGACGUAAACACUUUGCAGGCUUAGCACUUUUCCUGGUAACAGCAUCAGUACCAACACUUGUCGAAUACCCUGUCUCCUUUUUCACUGAAACUUUGGCCUGAUCUCUCUCAUGUGUUGUUGACAUUGAUUCAGGUAUAUUAGGCUCCUCAGCAGUGUUGAUGUUUCUUUUCUCUUCUUUAACUUGGAAAGAUGAUUCUAGAAUUCAUACGAGAAAGACAUACAUAUUAGAAAAACGGAAGAUCAGUUUUUAAAUGAAUAACAUGUAGAUAAGGUCAGAAAGGUGAAAUUAAAAAACAAAAAACACAGUGCUAGUAAAUUCAUUUGGCUAAUAUCGACAAAUUUCAUAAAUUAGACAUUAAUCCUUUAAACAGUUCAUGAUAACCUCUGAAGGAAAAAAAAGUACAGUACUCAGACAUGUCGAAGCAAGAUCAUUUAGUCAAACUAACUAAAAGGACUUGUCUCCAGAAAUGAUUAAAGGAUCAUGUCUUGGUUUUUGUUCUUUUAUAUAUGCAAUGAUAUUGAGCAGCUAAACUCCAAUCUGUAUAUGAUGAAUGAACUCUCUCACUCGCAUGCGCAUGCGCUCAUUCGUUGCAUUAGUAUGUGGGUGCAUCUGCAAGCACCAGCACGGAAGAUAAAGGUUUUAUCAGGAGUCCUACAGAGAGUGAGGAAUGAGCAAUUAUCUUUUGUAUCCACUAGUACUAAUAAAAGUCAAGAAAUGUUUGAUUAUAUUAAUAUUAACUACAUUUACUUUAGACACAAAAUGAUCAUUAUAGACCCCAUAGAAUCAUCAUCAAGAAAGUUUUAGAAAGAGAGAAAAUUUUUUCCAUGCUAUACCACAAAUAACCUCCUCAACCAGCCACCAUGGAAAUAUCAGGCUAAUAGAGAAUCUUAGACAUCAUCAAAAAAUAAAACUCUAUUUACUGAGAAUUUAUACCUUAUUAAUCCACUUCAAGUUAUAGAACUUCUUCGGUAAUGUGCAUGAAAGUUUAAGCAGGACUGACAAAAUCAUGCCCAGUAUGUAGAAUUUCAAAUGAUUAAUUAAUACAAUAAAAUGCUUAAGAAAAUUUAGUGCCCUUAAACUUCUAAUAAACUAGAACUUAACAUGCCUUUGCAACAAACUCAAAAAUUAUUAGUUGAGAUAAAAAUGCAACGUUCUUCCUAGAGGUUCUGCAAAAUAAGGCCUUUGGCCCUUUAGCCUUAGACAAGAUAGGUUUUGCAAAUGGCUGAAAUUGCCAAACCUCCAAAAUCAAGGUCAAAUUUUGACAUGUUUAGACUGAAAAUCUGAAAUUUAAAACCAUGGAUGUAAUAAGAUUAUUGUGCAUGUUGAUAAUGAUAAACAAUCUACGUUCACCUUAUCUGGCAUAACUUCCUGUUUUUCUGUAUACAUAUAUUUACAGAUAAAUGACAGUAAAAUGUUCUUAGCAGCUCAGAUCUAAGUUGAUACAAACUUCAAAAACCAAAAGACAUUGAAUCCAAUUUCCAAUCCACAAAUAGUGAGGUUUACAAGUUUAAUUCACUUGAAACAAGUUUCCUGAACAUGUUAGUAAUGUAACAAUUAUGAACAAUGACCCACUUUACAAAUGUAAAUACAUCCCAACAACAAUUUCAUACUAACUUUUGGUAAUAGUAGUUCUCAAAAAAGAUCUAGAAUGAAAGGUCAUGAGAAUGUGCAUUCUUAAUCUCUGAAAAGGAAACAAAAGGAACCAAAGGAAGUACUCAAUAAUUCAAUACGAAAAAAGAAAGCAUUGCAAACUACAAAAGGAUGAACACUAAUUCUGACAACAAUGACUUGUUAUGUAUCAUACUAGAGUAGUAGUAAAAUUAAAAAAUACAAAAAAAAAAAUACUGAGACAUAUGAACAGGAAACUAACCAGAUUCAACGGUAGAGGUAGGCAGCAAGAUAUUUACAGACAAAUCUGCAAGUGUCUGUAGAGCAUCAAGGGCGGAGCUUUCAUCUACAUGAACAAAACAGUGAACAAGAAUAAUAUUUCGUAGGCAUUUGAUGUAACAGACAACAAGAGAAGAUGGCAUGUGCCAAAAGAAAGUGAAACAACAUAAUUGUAUAGCAUCAUGCACCAAUCAAUUUAACAUAUUCUCAAUGUCAAGCUUGAAAGGAAACAAAAUUAGCAUUAUGCACAAUUCCAUAGAAUAUAUUAUAUUAUCAAGCUGGAAAGGAAACAAAAGGUAAAAAUCACAUACAAAGAACUAAACGAGAAAAAUUGAGAAUCAUGAAAAUAUUUCAAUGACCAACAUACCGAAUAAGUAACCAAAAAUUAUUCAAAUAAUUCAUUUUAGAAGAUUAGAAUAUUCAAUAUAAAAGAUUUGUCUAUCACCAGAACUAUGAAAGUUCUUUUUCCUUUUUUGUGUGUGUGGGGUGGGGGGUGGCGCAAUCUUGCUCAUUUGUCUAGAAAGGGAUCAAAGAUGUGCUCAAUGUCAUAUGACACUUGACCAUAUAGUACAUGGAAUAAGCAACACAGUUAAAUAAAAGAAGAUGGUAGUAAGAAUUCAAUUCCAAUUUGUACAUUGUUAAGCUAGAAAUAAAGAACAAACAAUAAAAUGUCGUCACAGCCACAAAUAAAAAUAUUCAAAAGAAGAAAUGAUAACUACCUUUUAAUCAUAUUGAGAAUCCUAAGAAAAAGCACAAAAUUUGACACGUACCUCCAAAAAAUAGCUGGCGGCUUCUUUUCCUUGAACUCUUGGAUCCUCUUACAGUUUUACCCUCCAUAGUCUCUCCGUCAAUUUCAUCUUUAACUUUUCUAAUAUUGAUGCCUUCUUCAGUACCACUGCAUGCUUCCCUGUCAUCAUCAAGUUGAUCAUUUUCCAUGUCUGCUGCUGCUUUUUUUCUCUUUUCCUGAAGUUUCUUCACCUUCCUUCUAGUUUCAACUGCUGCAGCCCCGUCAUUUUCUAUCAGACGAGUGACAUCUCUAACAAAAUCUCCAUUCUCAGCUUCUCUACUUCCUAAACUGCCUUCAUGACAAUCGCCCUCAAUUUGAACACCAACUAACUUUGAGCUGUCCAUCUCCGACUCGUUCUACAUUUUGUAUUAGGAAGAGAAUUUUUUAUUAUUUAUAGCAUUAUGGCAGAAGAAAUAAACUCCAGAACUUAAGAUGCUCACCUUUUUUUCACCACUCUUAGCAGGAGAAGAUCUCCUGUGAUCAGCUCUUCUUCCAGGGGUUCUAGAAAGCUGCGGUGAGCCUCCUCUCUGAGAAGCCUCUGCUAAAGCCAAUGCAGCCACAUGAGCACCUUCAUCAUCAGCAGUGUUUGAAACAGAUUUCAAUGCUUGUUUAUUUGGAGAAAGUAUUUUAUCCCUGUCGUCUCUGCUGUACAUAUUUGAAACAGGGAUGCGGGGAGUCCUUUUCCCAACCGCACGAGGUCGGCUACCUGGAAAUAGAUCUGGCAAUGUUUCAAGAACUCAAUUUUAUUCAGCUGAAAAAAUAGAACAUUAAAUUUUGUGUCUGUAUUUACGUAUACAAACAUCAGAAGCAUGAGAACAUCCACAACAGAGGUUGACUAAGUGAGACUCAUGACAUUCACAUAAACUGAAAUGAAUUAGAUUCUAACAUUGAUAAAUAAAAAAGCUUCCAGACCAGAUGAAGUAUAGUGGCAACUAACAAGAAUUAUAGGCAAAGGAAUAAAGCGCAAUGGUUAAAAUUAUGAUAAUGACAAGAACAAUGUGAAAUGAAACAUAAGAAUAUCAUAAUGUACAUAAUUUCACCAGUACUAUCAAUCAAAGUCGGAAGCCUUGAUAUAAAGCUAUACAAGAGGGUACUUGAACAACAGCCGAACAAUAAGCCAUGUCAAGAAUUUCGGAAAAACCAAUCUGGCUAUAUGCACAGAAGCUCUGCAACUGAAGAGUUUCCUUCGAGGCAAGUCAUAGAAAAUUUUAAAGCAAAGACUAAAAUUAAAAGAUAUUAAUUUCAACAAAAAUUACAUAAAUAAAUAUAAACAGCACUUGGCAGUUGGGAAUGAUGAUAGGCGCACUGCCAACUUAACAGAUAUUGCAGCUCUAGAUAUUACAACUGGGAGUUAUAAAAUAUAAAAUGGAGUAUUUGACACCAGUAUUUCUGCAUGUUUGUGCACAUGUCAUGGUUAAAAGUGCCAGCCAGCAUAUACCAUGCUGGGUAAGUAUCAGCACCCGGCAGGGAUCUGCGCUGCACCUGUUAAAUCCAUAUUUUAACACUUUUUAAGUACUUUUAGUUUUUGCUUUAGCCAAGUAAGACAAGUGCAGGCAUGAAGUGGUUUAGAGUGCCAGCCACAUGUACCUUGCUGGGUUAGUACCAGCACCCAGCAAGUCUGCACUGCACCUAUUAAAGCAUAUUUAAUAUGUUUUUAUUUUUUAAGUUUUCUAAUAUGCUUCAGCCAAGUAAGACAAGUUCAGGCAUGAAUAGCCAUGCCAUGCCAACUUCCGAUUGGCACAGGUACUCACACCGAUAUCUAAAACUCUGGUGCAUGUGCAUGUGUGCUUGAUUGAAGCAUCUAUAAAUGCAUAUAACUGGCCAAAGCAAAUGUCUAAGAAAUUCAUGAUGCCAAGCUGACAGCCGACUAGCAAGGGUACUCACACCAAUAUCUUAAUCCUUGGUGCAUGUGAAUAUGUAAUUGAAGCAUCUAUAAAUGCAACUGCUUAGAUGACUGGUCAUCGCAUAUGUCUAGAAGAAAAUCAUGGGCAUGGAAGAAUCAAUGUAUUGUACUCAGAUCCUUCAGAAUUAUAUAAAUGCAACCAGAAAUGUUUCCUUUGUUUAGUUCUACUUUCAUCCGCUGCUACCUCAAAUUGAUAGUGAUAAAGAAUUAAAAAAGUUCUUGGAAAGUCUAAAUGUUGAUUUCUUGAAACUAAAAUAAGUAGGCACUUGGAGAUGACAAGAUCAAUCUUCUGCAUCUAUAUCUCCUGAUCUUCUAAAAUAUAAAUGCUUUGCAGUGAACUUUUCGGCCAUAUUAAGUCUCAGGUGGAUUGUCAAAUGAAGCAGCAAUGCUUCCAAUAAAGGUAUUCAGAAAAAUUCUACAGAGCCAUUAUGCUGAAACCUUGAAAGUUACCUCCAGAUCGCUUCUUCUUUAAUAAUGACAGGCAUCCUGAUGUUGGACCUGACUGAUACUGCAGUAGAUCAGGAUAGGGACCAUCGGAACCUUUUGACAUGAGUCGAAAUUUUCCCCGACCACGCUUUUGAGUCUUGCGAGAUGUUCUAGACACAUCAUUGCUUUCACGACCACUGUCGCUCCCUUCCUGUCAGUUGAUAGUUCCUUGCUUCAGAUAACAGCCAAGUUGUCCAACCAAACAGUAACAAGAUCAAAAUUAAGGUUGACCGUGGAAAAUUUCAGAAGCACAGCCAUGAGAUAUUUAGAGCAUAUUGCAGCACUGAAAGAACCAAUUCAGUUGUAGCAUAGAAUAUAUCUUAUAAGUCGAGCAAUACCAUAGCUGUCCAGUUAAACAGCCACAAACAUUAGAUAUUUGGAAAAUUAUAAAAAGAAACAACUAUACAAUAAGCAAUAAUAUCAUACAAAAGUUCAUUCAGUGCAUCCAGAUAACAAGGUCAUACUGAUUGUAUUACCAUAUAUCACCUUAGAGCAUCCAGCCUAUAGAUUUCUUUUCCUUUUUUACAACAAUAGAAACUAAUACACUGUUAACUUUGCAAAACUUAUAACCCUAAAUAACUAAAGAUUUAUCAGUGGGAGGUGAAAUAAUUUGUCAAAACCAUGGCAAACAUCUUUGCAAUCCAACUCAAUAUGUUUAAUUGUGAAUGAUAAGGAGGUCCUUGAAAACUCAAAUUGCUCUCCAGGUUAUGGGACCAGUGCAUGUUAAAAAGAAUUUACAGACUGAAGAAUAAUGGACAUAGGGUGGCCAUUUUAAUGGAAACACCUUAUUUAUUGUUAGAAGUCCAUUUCAAGUUGUGUAUCAACAAUAAUAUGACUUUUAAAGUCUAAGUACCAUAACUGUGUUCUUCUUCUAUGAGGUACAGUUCCAACAAUUUGUUCUUGUGUAGUAAUGAGAAGUUUUAAGCAGAAGAUUUCCACCUAUUACAUAGUUUUAAGCAUGAAAUUUGGCAAAUGAGGAUCCAUGAAACCAAACCCAACUAGUUCGAACAAGGCUUGAUGUUUAUGGUUAUGGUACGUAAUUUAAUCUAUCAUCCAUAAUUUAAACUCAACUUUUUAGAUUACUGGCAUAGAGCAAACCCAGGAAUUUUGACAGUGUUCAGCAGUGGGUAUGGACUUUACAUUAUCAAUGGGCAGCAAUGCUUAUCAGUACAGGCGCUUUGACAAAUAUAGACAUUUUCAUUGUUAACACGUUUUGUAAUUAUAUAGACAAAACCAAUUUUUAAAUUUAAAAUCCAUAUUAUUUUGUCUAUUGAAAAUGUCAAUUAUUUUUAGUAAUCUUGCCUUCAUCAGUCUAGUUUAUAUUUCACCAAGUCCAAUGACUUCAUGAAGUUUAAAAGCAAAAGCAAUUUUUUACUACGAAAGGAGAUUAGCCAGUUGCACUUAAAUAAAAACCUCCGAGUCUGGUGGAGAUGUACGACACUUUUGUAGGCAUAAUUGUUAUGGAAUUAUAAAUCCAUAUAAACAAAGAGACUACACUUUUGUGUUGGAAACUUGGACCAGGCACAUCCUUUAUGGCACCAAGUACAUGAAAUAUUUACUCAGGUGCUUUACCCAAGGUUUCAAAGAUAGUGACCUUUACACUAUCAACUUCACUAUGUAUAAAGUCGCUCGCUCGCACGCAUGCAUAAGGUUCCAGAUAUAGUGCUCUCUCCAUGAUCCAACUGAUGCAUGCACACACGCACACACCCACACAUAUAUACACAAAUACAUGUACAUAUGAGUGCAUAUGUGUGUAUACAUGCAUGUCUGUAUGUACCAAAAAAAAAAAGCAAUUGAGCACCAAAUAAGCCUAUAUAGUAACAGUAACAUCAAUAUGAAACUCAAUAUCCAAUCUCACCAGAAUAUUGUAGUGAUCAGUCAUCAUUGCGAUUAAUCCAGCUGCAGUAGCUGUUCCUUCUGGAAGGGAUAAGUAUGCCUGAGAUUGCAUAGUGACCAGUUAUAUUCAUGAAGAAAACACACGACUUAUAAGGUCAGCUUUUUCUCAAGACAUCAUUAUAAAAAUUAAGAGAGUAAAACAACAACAGUGUACUCUAAAAUGGUUAUAGUAAAAUUAUUGGAAAAAAACAUAAAUCAGUAGUAUGCAAGGUAUGCUGAUACAAUAUACAUGUGAUCAAAUCCUGUACCUCUAUUAGCCAAAGAAAAGAGUGCUCAACCAUUCCAUAGGUCAAGUCAUGACACAUAGCCCAAAGGCAAUCAGAUAAGGUUGUCAACUGGAAUACUGGAAAAAAAAAUUCUAAGCUGUUCUUCUAUCUUAUCUGCCACACUCUGAUUUACCCUGAAGUACCCACAUUGACACAGCAUGAUGUGGGUGUAAAUAUUACACUAGGAACGAGGCCACGAGAAAAACUCUUAGGCAUUAGAAGGAUCCAACACAGACACACACUCCAACCAGCAUAUCCAUGGCAACAUGGUUCAUCAUAACUUCAACCUUAUCGGAAAUAAAUCAACUAAAAAAUUUGAUCUCGUUCUGGAAAUUUCAAGGUUCAAGGUUGUUCAGAAUACAACUUUGGGUGGAAGAAUCAAUAAUCAUGUGGUUAGCCUCAUUUGCUCAUCAUUAACUUUGAAUCUAGUGCAUCGAAAGCUGACUACUAGCCAUUAUUGCAGUGUUCUGAAGUUCAUAGCUGAGAUAUAUGAAGAAUUUUCAUUGUUUGCAGGACUACAUAAUCAUAAAACUUGUGACCUGUGCAACAGUUCAAUCUGAAUUUCAAGAAUCCCAGAAGCAUCUUGAAGAUAGUGUUAGUAGGGUUUAAGUCAUCAAGCUGUUUGUGCAGAUUGUCAUGUUUAAAGGUAACGCUUGAUCCAACAAAAAAAAAAAACUUCACUAGGAAAAGGAAAAAUGAGCUAUCGAAAUACAAGUUACAAUAAUAUGGCUUGUACUGGUAUUUGAGAGCAUAUAAUGGUAUAUGUAGGGAAAACAUUAAAGGUGAAUGGUGACCAAACAAGAAUGAUACAACUAGCGAGAGAGUAACAUAAAACUAGAGGGCAAUAGAUAAGAUACUCCAUGCAAACUACAUGAUAGUGUUAGUAAAUACCAAAAAUAGAUACAUCAAGAAGCCAAAGCCAUUAACUUUAUAGAACCAAAAGCUCACAUACAUACAUUUAAGGAAAACUUAAUUAAAAAAAGAAAGAAACAGUAUAAAAGUGUUGAACCAUAUAUUAUUGCAGCAGUUAAGAUAACUCCACUGAUCAUAACAUGCAACUUCUAUCAAAAGGUAUCUACUAUUUUGUUUCGGUAUUAGUGUAUGGAUCAUAAUUUCUUCCUGGUCAGGAUUAUAUUAGUUUGGAGAGAGGAAGUUACAGUAGUUUCGCAAAAAUUUUAGGAAACAGAAUAAUUGACAGAUUGUUAUACGUGAUAAAUGUACUUGUAUAUAUGUAUGUGUCUAUAUGGAGAAGAAUGUGAACAUCAUGUAAAUAUAAAGGUUAAUCUAAACUAAGUUUAUUAAAAGAUCUAUGAACAACAUGCACAAUCAAGCAAACAGAUGUAUGUGCAGGCAAAUUGCACCCUUCAAAAUGUAGGUGCAUGUCUGUGUUUUUUUUUACCUCCCCUCUUCAAAUUUCUGAUAUGCAUGUCUGUUUUCUGAUAAGCCAGUAAAUAAAAUUUCAUACUUCAAAGUUUUUUUUAGUUAACAUUUAUUUCAGAAGCAGAACCUAAUUAUAGGAUCAGGAAAAGGUUGCACAAAUUCAAGGAAUAAAAUAUCACAUCAAGAAAAUACACUUUACCCUAUUCAUAUUGUAAAGAGCUUCCACCAUGUCUGACGAUCUAUUACGUACUGCACCAGCCACCUGGUAACCCAAAAGAGUCAAUACGUUUAGAAGAUUAUUAAUACAUGCAGAGAUUUUAAUACUUCAUAACUUGAGAAAAGGAAAAGGAACCCCCAGUAUCCCACAUAACAUCCAUUUCAACAAAUCAAAUAGCAAAAUUCAUUUGUUCAAUAACUACAGAACUGGGGUAAAACAACAUAUAUCACAAAGAAACCUUCUCAAAAACAAAGCAAGUUCAGAAAACAAUAUAGGCAAACCUUUCUCCAGUCCUUCCCAUAUUUUCGAUAGGCUUCAUAGAAACGCUCAAGCUCUUCUUUGCUCCAUUGAGUGCCUAACAUGUCGGACAAUUUCCUCUUCUGCAUAGACAUAUUACCAGAAGUUUGAAAAAAUAAUAACAAGUGAUGUGCUAGUUCAGAUUACAGAAUAAAUCUGUACUACUAGUUCAGUUAUACAGACAAAAAUCAAAAACAUUGCAUAUGCACACUUCAUUGCAUUAAAUCAAAAUAACUUAGCUGCAAUGGCAUUAAUGCCCACAUAUAUCUAAAAAUCUAAGAGCAAGAGUCUGAUAGGCAUCCAUUUGAUAGUCUAUUUAUACAAUGAGUAAAUAUAAUACAAAGAUAAAGAUUAACUAUAAAAAUUUAUAGAGUAUAACACAAGGUCCGUUGUCUCAGUACCAGACCCUGUACCAAUGCUACACUAGCACAGUGUCGUACGAUACAAAAUGGAUUUUUUUUUUUGAGCAUACCGAGUGUCAGUACACCACCUAUAUUGGGUACCGGUAUCGGUACGGAAUACCUCUGUCUUAAUCGGUAAAGACAAACCCAAAUACUCAUAUUAUGUCUGUUUCAGCAGAACCAAACAUUUUCAGUGCAUCCCCAAUCUUCUUGGAAGAUUUCAAAAGCAACCCAAACACUUAUUUUAUGUACUAAUUAGCAGCAGCAGCAUUCAGUGCAUCCCAAAUCUCCUUUGAUGAUUUCAAAAGCAUACAACUGGAAUUAUCAUAGGUGACAUCCUGCUCUAUAACCAUGUCAUAAUCCAUCCAUCCAUGAGAGAGAUGAAAAAUUGAGCUAACACCAGCGUCUCACCUGACCAACAAAAUAGAAUUUGCGAGAGAAGAAGCUAUGAAGUUUGCCAAGGCCACAUAUACUUACGCGUGUCUUACUUUUGUUCGCAAUUGUCGCAUCUUUAUCCAGCCACUCAUCAUUCACUUUCGCAAAGCGCUUGUUCACAUUUCUCGAUUUCCUUGUUGAAGCCAUUGAAACAUCUAUGUCCCUCCUGAACAAGAUGAAUGGGCAGAGUUUACCAUUGAAUAAAUCUCAAUCUAUCACAAAGGCCCAAGAGAAAUGAAGGGAACCAUAAGAAAAAAGGAUAAUUCAUGUGGUGAUGAUUAAAAGUCCAGUAUAGCCUCAGAAAGAUAUGCAAUUCAAGUAAAUAUAAAGACAAGCUAGUGAAUUAAUAAUUGCAUUCUAAUAGUUAACACUAUAGGUUGCCUCAAAUUAAUGACAAUCAUAAGAACAACCUUCAGAGAAGACUGAUCAGGCAAUCAUUGAUAAUUGAAUAAUAACAAAACUUGAUCAUUACCGAAUGGACCAAGCUUUAAAAACUCGGUUUCUGUUUCAGAGGCCAAGCCUGUGGAGUUAUUGUGUUGGCAGUUUUGGUCAUUUCUGCAGUUGCUCUCAAAGUAUCAGAGUUUGUCAAAAAAAAAAAAUCAAAAACAAAUCUGAAAAGUUUGAAAAGUACAAGAAAAAUAAAAGCCAGAAAAGUUAUUACACAAAUUUUAGAAUAUUUUACGUUACACAAUUCUUUAUGGGUGUUAUAUUGGCAAUUCUAUGCUGAAGUUGAUGUUGUACAUAAUAAAAUUCAUUGAGCAGGCAAGUCAUGGACUGCGAUAUCGUCCAUACAAUGCGUGCCAUACCGCACUAGGUGAGAAUUGGUACAAAAUCAAGUUCAGGUAGGUGAAAACACCAUCCCGUCCCAUACUAAGGUGUAUCGAGGCAUAUCAAAGUGUAUUGAGAUUGUACCGAGGUGUGUACCGAGAUGUACCAACCCGCACCAAGGCAAUAUUUAAAACAACAUGUAGGUAAAAUAAUCAUAGUAAUGCAUACUAUUUCAUGAUAACACAUAGCAACCAUCACGACAAGUUAUGCAAUUAUGUUGAAAGGAAAAUGGAACUGGGCAUAAAGAUGAGUAUCAUAAUGCCCAAGAGCCUACUGUCUUUAUCCAAAAGAAAUUAAACAAAACAGUAAUUUUAGAAAAUAAUUUUUGUAAAUGAAACUAGUCUUUAGAGCCACUUCCAAUUGUUAAUCAAAUCAGAAAAGUCCAAUGAGUUAAUGUUGAAUUACAGUACACCUUUUUUUCGGACAACUGUUAGGUGCUCUGAUUAGUCAAACCAGACUUCUUUUCCAAGAAACCGUUAGAUGCUCUGAUUUCUAAAAAUUACUCCAGAAAUAAAAGUAAUUUAGCAUUAUUCUGAACCAUAUCCCACUAAGUUGAAAUUUCUAAGCGAUAAUCUUUUCAUAAGAACAGUGAAGGGAAAUUUGGUGUUAGACUACAGGCAUAUGAUAUUGAGAUUACAGAUUAUUAUUAGAAAUGGUAAGAAAAAUUAUUGAAGCUUAAUGAACUUUUGAAUUCAGGAACAUUUUCCCCUAAGAUGGUGUUGGUUCAGUCCCCUCCUAUAUUACUACUAUCUUUCAAAUCAAAACUUCAAAAAUUAAAGCUUCUACAGCUAUAAUCACUGUUCUCCAGCAAUGCAAUAUGAAGUACUCAAUUUUUAAGGAAAUCUGAAUGGAAACCUUUUUGUCAAGACCGGGUUCAACCGUCAAAAAAGGAGAAUUCCAUACCACAUCCGGACUAAAGCAAGCUAGAGAAGGCUGAGAAGAUCAUAGAUGAUUUCAAGGUCAAAAUAGAACAGCUAAGGGCUGAUGAAUCUCAGCUGCAGAUCAAAAUGAUGAUCUAAAAAAUAUCAAAUGGAAGCAGUCAUUCUGCAGCUGAUCUGAACAAAGAAAUUGGAGCUGGAAAGAAAAGAAUAUAGUAACCUCGCAGCAGGCUGAGGCUAAUACUAACAAAAAAACGAAAUUGAGCUGGAACAGCUAAGGAAAGAAAAUUCCAUGCUGGAGAAAAAUAGUUAUAACCCGCACAACCAAGAUACCGAUCUGGAGAGAAGACUGCAAAAACAAGAGGCAAAUUGUCACCUCUCCGGCAAAAGUUUGAAUAAGUAUAAAUUGCAGGUUGGUUUUAAUUUUCUUUCAGAAUACUUGCUGUAGUAGGUAGCAAUUCCAUGAAAAUAUCAGUUGGUUGAAACUUGGGACUGACUGGGAUGACCCUAAAAAAAUUAUUCUAAGAUUUUGAUUUCUGCAACCUAUCAAUAACAUCUCUCACAAAUCCAAAGUCCUCAGUAAUAACAAAUUGCUUAUCUCAUCAUCCUUCGUGGUCCUAUGAUUUGCGCCCAUACGAUGCAAUUUCAAAUAUUUUUUUUGCUCAAGCAGUAAGCUGCUACAUCUGAUAUACCUGCAUUUCCAUUCACAUGAAGCCAGCGAUAUUUUUCACUUGUUAGUCAGGUUGUGUCUACUUUGUGUACAUAACAGAAUGCAUUCUAUCAUGCUUGGACAGAUCUAGCCUGCUAAGUGAUACUGGGAAGGGGUAAUUAAUCAUUAUGAUAUAUAACGUUUUCAAACCUCGGAAGAGCAGAAACUCCAAUACUCAAUUCAAGAGAGCUUAGCGCCUAGAAACAUGUAGCCUGCUCAUGUUUCAGAGGAGAUAGUUUAUCUAGCAGAAGGAUUUUGAACUGUGGCAUAAAUUUUAAAAGAAAAGCAAGAAGAACACCCACAGUCAAGUCCAUUGUUAGCAGGUAGAAAAAUUCAAGUUCAUGAAUAGUUGCUCAAGAAAAGUUUAAAAAAUCAAGGAUAUUCUAACAGAGAAAACAGAUGCAGAAUACUAGCAUUAUUGUGCAGCAAGGAAUCAAAGAUAAGUGAAAUCGUUUAACCAAUGAGAAAUUUGCAAGGGGCUGCAGAUUUCAGAGGUCAACAACUUCUAAGGUUUUAAAAAAACCAAAACGAAAGAAGCAGAAAUAAGCAAACAUGACAAAUCCAACACGAGAUCAACCAGAUAAAAACAAGAUCAGAGCAAAUCUAGGUAUAUGUAUACAGAUCCGAGCAUGAAACAGGGUAUCUGGCUUGAAUGGGAUUAGGGUUAGGGUGAGGGUUAGAGAUCCGGCCAAAUCAUGGGCAAUCUUCAUGGAUUCGAGCAUCAUAACCUUGCCGGAAUCGAGAUUCCAGUGGAAGAGAAAGCUGUAGCGGGAGAUUAAGACGGUAGCAAACAAGAGCGAAAAAAAAAUUUUGCGUGGGAGGAGGGCGGAGUGAAGAGGAGAGGAGAGGACUUACCGAGGUCGGCGUCUUCGAGCCUCCUCCUAAAGGGAAGGGUAGGCAGUAGAAUCGCCGCCCGUCAGUGUGCGGGAGCCGUCCGCCUUUUGGUGCCGAGGCUCUCGUCCGUCCGGGGGGAGGAGGGGAGGAUGGCUAUCGCCCCGCUCUUUUUCUCGAGCGAACUGGGGAGGGGUGGCGUGUCUCGAAUCCAUCGGCACUUGGCACGCAGAUGGACGCGAGUCCGAUUUGCUGAGCUGGCGGUUUCUUCUCUUUUUUUGAAUUUCUUUUAAAAUUUUUCAUUCCUAGCGUGCCCAUCAACCCCGCCAAGACAGAUCCGUAAGUACCAAUCGUGCAACGCCCGGCCGACUUUGACCGUGGGCCUGGGCCGUCUCCUCCUCAAGCUUGACUCUUUUUUUUUUUUCUCUUCUUUUUUUUACCAAAGAAGAUGGCCUAUACACAUCUAGUAUUAAUGAACCCAAAAUAGUUAAAAAAUAGCAAAUCUCAAAGUACUCUUGGUAUCUUCUCUUUUUUUUUCAACCCACAAAGCUCCAAAGUGGUCGGCCACAUACGAAGUCAUCCAAUCCUAGCUCCACCGCUAGUCAAGUUCAUUUAGUUUGGGAACUAGACUUAGUAGGAAUCGAGAUUGGACAAAAGGCUUAAAUCCAACUUAUGGAAUACCCAAUGUAACCUCUUUCUAUUUCACUAUUCAUCCUUCUUUGGUUUAGCUCGACUUUUCUUGUUUCUAUCUAAAGUGAAAGGACUUCUUUAUGAUUUCGAGUUGACCUUGUGGUAUUCUGUUUUAAAAUCUCACGCAUUGUAACAUCAAGGCAUCUCAAUUAAUGGACCUAGGACUAGAGCAAUCCAUAUGAAUGCAAAAGAGAAAACCUCGAGAGAAGACUAAUUUUGUAAUUAGCUCUAAUGCCAAUAAUAUUCAUCGCUUUAACUGGGUCGUUACUAAAUUUAUUUUUUUAACGUACUGUUGCUGGAUUGAUUGCUACAAAACUGUCGUGACGUUAAAAAGAUAAUGACGUAGGAAAAAAUUUUUUGCCAUAAAUCGGAGGGUACGUAAGAAGGUGGACUCCAUCAUCGCCAACUGAGCCACCGGCAGCCAUGAAUGCUGCCUGCGCCUCUUUCCAUGCUCGGGCGACGACAGCAGCAGCAUUCAACUGCAGCACUGUGCUGCUUCUUGUUGAGAAUCGGGGUUCGAUCCAGUUCGCGGAGCGAGCGAAGGCGGAACUGACGUUCUUGCCAUCCGUGCCGCCAACGUCGUGGAAGCGGACGGAGAGGAAAGGGCACACACGGCAGUGCUGUCGUCGGUGCCGAUGACGUCCAAGGGACUGAAAGGGACGGAGGGUUAUAUGGCGUCUUCUCUUUCCCGUUGGCGAGCUUCUCGUUGAGGUUGCUUGGGUUCGGGUCGUUCUUCCGUUUUCUCUUUAGUUUGGUGUUUUGGAAGGUAAAUGUUAUCGUUUUGUUUUCUUGAGAGGAUGAUGGAUGUACGUUUUGUUCAUAUAAUGGUUUGGGAUUUUUAUUCUCCCUCAAAAAAAUUUAAAUAAAAAAUGUAAGCAGAGAAUUAGGUCCUGUUAUGAAUUCUAUUUCUACAGAUUAUUGCCAUCUAAAGUUUUGAUCCUGAGAUUAGAUGUGUUUUUCACUGGACUUGGGUAAUAAUGUGAUGCUAUGUAAAUUUUGAGUUUGUUCUUGUUUGCACAUCUCUAGGCAGAAUCCAACACUAUGGAAAAAAGUCGGUUCAUCGACGCUUUUCACAAGCAUCCGCAAUUUUCGGUCUAGCGUCAUAAUUUGCUGACAUUUUUAAAAGGCAUCGUCAAAAGACGACGCUAAUAAAUAUCGCCGUACUUCCGGACCUAAGAUGACACUUUCAGAUAGCAUCGGCAAAAACUUUGACCACUCCUAUAUUACCGACGCUUCUGCGACGUUUUGUUUAGCGUGGGUAGAACUUUAACCGACACUUAUAAGCGUCGGUAAAAAUUGUAAAAAACGCCAAAAAGAUGUAUUUUUCUGUAGUACAAUAACAUUCUGUUUGUUGCUAUAUAAGCGCCGGAAAAAGUUAUAAAAAAACGUUAGAAAAAGUGUAUUUUUCUUGUAGUGUAAUAAUAUUCCUGUUUGUUGCUUCUGCUAUUUGUUUUUUCUUUUUUAUUUAUAGUUCAUAUCCUCUCAUGCAAAGAUCACAGUUGAUACAAAAUGCUUUUACCAGAAGCAAUAUGUUUUAAUUGAGUGAUUCAUAAGCGCCAUGUCCAUCCCCAUGCAGCCACUGAAGGUUAGAAAAUAUCAGCACGUAUUGCAUUAUGUUUUUGCUUUUCAAUAUCAUUUACUUUCCUCCUUAUUUUCAAUGUAUGUCUUGGAGGUCGUUAGGUGUGGAUUCUUCAUCACAAGGGAAGGAAUGAUAAGACUGAGAGGGAGGUAAAAAUCUUACUGAAGCCAAACAAGCCUGAAAGAAAUGUGUUUAUACGAGGAUUCUAGUUAUAACCUCUUUAUUUUCUGAGUGUUCGAGUAAAACAUUCGUAAUAUAUUCCCUUUUAAGUAGUGCAAGUAUGGAUCUAGUGUUAUGGUUUUUUAUGUUUUAAGUAUUUGCUCGAGAUAAGUUGACGAGUAUGGGCAUUUGUGUCUUGAACGCACUAUGAAGAGAACAACUUAGACCAAUUUGCCAUUCUGAAAAAAGAUAGUUAAAAUAUUUGAUCUUCAAAAAUCCACUUGGAAACUUUAUAAACUCCUUUAUAACAAAUCAGCAAGAUAAUUUAUUGGGCAGGAUUAGCUAUCCCUCAUAAGAUUUCCAUAUGAUUAUGUAUGUUUUUGGUACAAGAUCAUUUAUAUCUGGUGUAUAAAAUAACUAGUGCUUGACAUGCAGUGGCACAACAAUAUACAAAAAAUAUAUAUGUGUGCGCACACACGCACUUGUAAGGAUUUAUGCAGGUGAGUGUUUAGUCUCACAUCGGUUUUUAUUGUGUGGAUCUUGGGUACGUAUAUAGGAUCAAAAAAUUUAAAUAAUACCUUCCGGCUAUGCAUUUUGGGUAAGGUCCUGGCUUAUUACAAAAUGGUAUCGGAGCAGAUAUGGCCUAUAACCUAUGUAGACUAAGGGACACUACAGCACGGAUCCAUUGGGAUUGUUAUAGCAAGAUCAAUGCUUGCAUGUUCUGAAUAAAUGUUGUUUAUUAGACCAAGUAAUAUUUACAAGCUAGAGUUCAGAAUUAGAAGAAUUCGAGUAAAACAAAGGAGAUGUCGGCAUAUUGACAAGAGACUCCAUGAGAAAUUUUAUCAAUCUAGAUAGAGACCCAACCCCAUUGUUUCUUGGUUAUAUUGUUUUUUAUCCAAGUUUGCCAAAAUAAUGUGCAUUUUUUUAUAUUAAAGUAAAUGUAUAUAGAAACAAACAAGUGUUGUGUUAAUUAUAUUGCCACAUCCCUUGUAUGUUUCCUAAUGGCGCAAAUUAGUGCGAAGCACACUGCCGGCAUGGAGUUCCUUUUCCAAAAUAAAAACAAGUUAUGAGAGUGUAAUGUUGAACUUUUAAUGUGUUAAGAAUCUGUAGGCUCAAUUUUCACUGGUUAUUCUAACUUCAUUUCAUAGUUUAAAGUCUAGCUAACCACAAUCAGACGAAUCAAAACAUUAGAAAUAUAUAUUUUUUUCAAAAAAAUUGAGGCAGGAGCCUUUGUAUUUGAUAUUUGAAUCAAUUUUUUCUCUGUCGCUCUUGUGAGAAUGGUGCUUAGGCAUUUAGUUAUGCACCUUUCAAUGUGAUUUUCUAAAAUUACAUGAAUGCGGUCGUGCAUAUGAGACAUACAAGACCAUAUGCUGUCGCAUUUAUGAAUCAAUUUGUUUGCAAUAGCUAUAUCUCGAGCCUAUAUCAAGCCACAUACUAAGGAUCCAUGAUUUGAGAAAUUUGUGAGAAUGUUGAAACCGUAUUCUUCACUACUUGAUGCAUACCGAUGAUUAUGGUUUUUAUUUAACCAAAGGCUUAUAAUUUUCUCUUCAUGCCUAUUUCGACACCAAUUGGGCCAGUGAUUAUGAUAACCGGCAUUCUGUAGGUGGCUUUGAUAUUUUUUCCCUAAUCUUAUAUCCCAAAAUGCUAAAAAGCAAUGCAUUAUGGUUCAUUCAAGUACCAAAUCUGAAUAUAAAUAGUUGGCCAGUGUUACCGCUGAACUAAUUUGGAUUCAAUGUUUAUUAUAGAAGUUGGAUAUCUCACUUUCUCAACCCUCUAUAUUUUGGUGUGACAACUUAUCUGCCAUACAUCUCACUGCCAAUCCCAUGUUUCAUGCUUGAGCCAAGCAUAUUGAAAUUAAUUUUUAUUUCGUUCGAGAGAAAAUAAAUAUUAUACUAUAUUAUAUAUUCACGUCCAAUUCUUCUCCUCCAAUGACUAAUUGUUGAUAACCUCCCAACGCUUUCAAUAGUUGCAUUUCAAGCUCUCGACGAUACCCAUCUUAGCUUGUGGUGGGGGGAGGGUGUUGGCAGUGUCUCUAUCUUAACCCUAUAUUGAGCCACAUAUCAAGGUCUUAUGAUUUGAGAAAUUUUGAAUAGCAUAAAUUCAGAAUUGAUCAUGGAGAUCCAUUGAUUAUUUUUUUCUAUCUCUAUAGUACCCUAGUUGUAAUCUCUUGCGUAUUUUUAACUAUAAAUAUAUAUGAUAAUCACCUCAUAAUAGUGAGAUAGAAAAAGUUUUCCACAAUAUUUUUCUUUUUCACAUAUUCUUUCUUUUCCAUGCAAUUAAAGAUUUUCCUUUCUCCUCGGUUGGACUGUGUUAAAAGUGAAAAUGGUAACCAAUUGAAUAGACUUCUAAUCUUUUGUGGUUUCAUAUUGACUAAGGACAACAAAGCAAUAUGACCGUCCUUAUUGCACAUAUCGCUACAACACAAAAGAGGUUCAUAGCAUGCGGCACGUAAGCUUCUAUGGUUAAAUCUCAACAAAACCACAAAAAUGCAUAAUUAUUAGGAAUGCACAAAUUUUUCUCAAGCCCACUAAUAUUACUCAACCAUUGUUCCUGUGCAGCACUAAUUUCCAUAAGCGACAACAAUCUUUCUUUAUCAUUAAAAAUUAUAUCCUACACCGUAUGUACCAUAUGGUCAUACAUCACGCCAAUCACCUUCUUUUUAUUGUAGGUCGGUCAUUAAGAUGAGCACGUGGUGAAUCGAGCCCAUAAGAAAAAAGAUAAGGUGAUUAGCAUGGUGCACAACGAUGUUAGUGCAUGCAGUGUAGAAUAUAAUUUCUUCAUUAUUAUACCAUAUUAAUUCUCGUCAUAGGUACCAACCUCUAUAUAUCUCAUGAUGGGAUGAAGUGUUGCAUGCAUGAAACUAGUGCCUUGCAGCAUCACUCAUUUGGAUGCAAUCCUUUCGGAAUAAAAAAAAAAAUCAAAAAUAGGCAGUAUUCUAGCGCGCGCAAAAAAAAAUGAAGAAGAAGAUGUCACUUGUUGGUCCCUUGCCAUGAUGGUCAUGGUAGCAUCACUCAUACUUGUUAGUUUCUUUUACCUUCCAAAAUCGAGAAUUAAUUCUGUUUUAUAGUACAAUUCAUGUGUUAAGGCCCUAUUCGGUAGAGCUACUAGCAGUAGAGCUUUCGGAAGUAAAGAUUUUAUAAAAAAAUAUUUGCUGUUUGGUAACUAUAUUUCUAAAAUAUUGUGAAACUUUAAUACGUGUUUGGUAAUAAAUUGAAAAAGUAAUUUUGGUAUGACAAAAUGACCAAAAAGACAUUGCAUAGUAUUAUACAACAAAGCAUAAUAAAAUAUAAUAUUUAUUAAUACAUAAAUAUAUAAUAUAAUAUAAUAUUACUGUAAUGUAAUAUAAUAUUAUUAUAUAUAGUAAUAUAAUAUUGUAUACUAUAGCGUAAUAACAUAACAUAAUAUUAAAUUAUUUAAUGUAACAUAUCAAUAUAUUAUGAUAUAAUGUAAUAUAAUAUUAUAUUUAUAGUAUAAUAUAAUAAUAAAGGUAUAAAAUAUUAUAAUUAGGUUUUUUUUAACUUUUGCAUAUUUUCAUAAUUAUAAAAGGAUAUUUUUGUAAUUAUAAUAUUUAUUAUAACUAUUUUGGUCAAAAAAAAUUUAUAACUCAAGAUAGUUUUUCAAUGGAAACUAAAAGUAUUUUUUGUUCAAAAAUCAAAGUUAAAAUAGUGUUUUGAUUUUUUACCAGAUUACUUCGAUUCUACCUUAUAAAAAAAAGAAAAAAGGAAAAACCCUAAAACACCCACCGUCCUCUUCGACAAUAUAACGGCGUCUAUCAAAGCUUGAUUUAAACCUCCCUCCCCCUCUCGCACUAAUUUUCUUUCCCCAUCCCAAAAUCUUAUUUUUCCCGCGCAUACAAAUUCUCUUCCAAAUCCCAAAAGUUUUCUUUUCCCCUUUGUAUGUAACUCUCCGCUUCUCCCUCUCGAAACCCUCUCUCCCUCUCUCAAGAUUCCGAUGGAUGACUUCUCGGCUCCCUCCUUCUCCCUCGGACUCGAUCUCGACCUCGCCGAUCUCCCCACCGAAGGCGAGGAAGACAAAGAAGAGGAACAACGAGAGCUUCCUCUCCCAACGCCGACGCAGGCAAGAGGAUCUCCAACCUUUGAUCUCCUCAGCGACGAAGAAUUCGAAGAAGAUCUUGGCCUACGAGAAACCCUAACUCCGAAUCCUGACCAAGAUCCUCCUCCUCCUCCUCCGGCCCUCAAGCGUUUGAGAAGAGGCCCUCCUGCUCCUCCUCCUCCGGCCCUAAAGCGAUUGAGAAGAGGCCCUUCUCCUCCUCCUCCUCCUCGGCCUCCUUCGCCAGCUGCUCCUUGUCCUCCAUGCGAUGGCGGCGGCGGAGGGAACCGUGGACCCACGAUCUUCACCGACGUCGAUGAUGAGAUCGAGGAGUUCUCGCCGCAAGAGGAGCGCCGGCAUAGCCAAGGUAAAUGGUGCCCUAUUGCAAGAAACUGUUCCUUAGGGUGCAAAUGCCUUUGAUCAUCUUGGUUUGUUCUUCCGUUUGUCUAUAUUUCAGAGAAGGAUGCACAGAAGGCUCGAUUUUUGUAUGUUGGGCUCUCAGACCCAGUAUAAAUUAAAAGUUACAAUUUUCCCAUCAAAUGAUGAUUCUAGGGUAACUAAUAGGGAUGAAGGUAUUCAGUAUUUCAAGAAUAUCUAUUAUUCUGGGUUCAACGUCGGUUGUAGUAAUAUACCUCUGUGUGUUGUUUUUUGAUUCAGUGUAGUUGGAGGUAUAGUUCAUGAUGCCCGUGCUAAUUUGCUUAAAGGAACAUAAGUUCCUUCUUAUCAGAAAUCAUACUUUCAAGUAAUUUUGGAUUUUCUGGCUUCACUAAUUAUUUGUUAAUAUUGGUAGAGGUAGUAAAAUAUGCAUUUUUAUGUUUUAGGAUUUCAACUGGUGAUCCCAGAAUUUCUAAUCGUAAACCACUAAUUAGUUUGAUAAAAUGGUAAUAAAAAUGUAAACCAUUCUGUUCAGACUUAUGAGUAUGUAGUAAAUCUUAUUUGGUAAUGUUCUCAAAUAUCUAUUUGGUACUUGUAAGUGAAUUCUUGCUGAAUCUGAUUGCCCAAUGGACACAGUUUGUAAUGAAAUGAACUUUGGUGAACUGAGUAUUGAAAGGGGAUCAAGGUAAUCUUAAUGUGGAUCUUCUCCCUUCUGAUUCUUAAUCAUCAUAAGAUUUUCACUGUUUUAGUUGUAGGUGGAUGUUCAUCAGUACAAAGCUGCAAUACUUGUAGCAGUUCAAAGUUUCUUCUACAUAACCGUGGGAUCUUGACAAGUCAACAAACAAGCAAAUUGAAGACUCCAAAAAUCUCACCAGCUUCCGAUGCCUCAACAUCAACAAUAGUAGAGCAAAGCAGCAAUAAGAAAUUGUUCCCAAAAUUAACCAUCAGCCCCCUUAGGAAAAUUUAUUUACUGGAUUCAGAUUCAGAUGAUCCAUCUCGUGAAGAUGAAUAUGAAGAUGGAAAAGAAGUUGAUAAAUCUCAAGAAAGGAGACAAGCUACUACCAUGACCAGGAAUAGGCAGGAAAAGUCAUCAUUGCAAGCCAAUAAAGUCCAUGGGGAAAGUUUUUGGAAGGACUUGAGCUGUAAGAAGAACAUGAACUUGGCAACACCUGCUUUAGAUGAGAUCUGUGAAGAGUAUUUCAGGUCAAUGAAGGAUCAAAAUUCAGUUCAGUCUAAGGAAGAGAAUAUGAAUUUUUGCAGUUCCAGAAUUCCUGAUCCAGACAAUUUUGUUGAAGACUUUGAAGAUCAUCAUCACCAGAAACACAUCAAUGGAAGAACUCAGCAAAAUAGGAACUUGCCCAAUUCUCAACCUCCUGCAUAUCAGUACUUCUACCAUAGCGAUGCAAGUAUCCGAACAUUAGUUCAGAAACGGUUGCCAUUCUUUAAUCCUCUAGGUGCAGAAAAAUAUAGAGGAAAUCAGGAGUCUGGAGCAGAAAAUUUUGAUUAUAUGUAAGACAUAUUAUACCACAUGCCUUGUGACUUUUCUUUCUUUCAUUCAUUCUUUUUUUAUAAUGAAAUUCGCAAGCUUUUUAACACUGUCUUUUUGUUAUUUCAGGGGUCAAUUUGGCUCCAGAGAUGUUCCCAGGCAAGCCCGCAGAUCUUGUGAGGGGCGUUCUGAAGUAAGCUCAAAAAGCAGAAGAAAACCAAACAGUGAUAAUCUUAAGGAGGCCUCACAUGCGAAUGGAAGUUGGGUGAACCCUAGAAGCUGUGCUAACAUUCCAAAAGAUGCUGCAAAAAGGCGAGUUCGUGCUGAUGGCCGUCAAUCUGGUCAUUGGUUUACUAGCGAGGAUGGAAGAAAGGUAACAGAAAAGUUACAUUCUGCCAAAUUUUGUUGUGUGGAGCAGCUAAAAAAUUUCUUAACUUUCAUGUUUGUUUUUUCUCUUGAGAAAUUUUAGUGGUUCCUUUUUAUUUCUAAAAUUCUUUCAUGCCUUUCUGUGUCAGUCAUGCUUGAUUAUGCCUCCCUUUAUGAUUGCUAAUAGGUUUCUUUUCUUUGAACUUCUUUGGUUUUUUUUCUUGCAGGUUUAUGUCGCUAAAAAUGGUGAGGAACUGACAGGUCAAAUUGCCUAUAAACAAUACAAGAAGGUGAGAUGUCCAUUUUUGAUUAACAUGACUAAUUAUUCUCAUAUUUCUUUAUUUGGAUUUUUGUAAGUAAUGCAAAUAUUGUAUUAUCCCUGUUCUCAUAUCUGGCUGGGUUUAGAUUUAGCUUUCCUAAUUCUUACUUCUUGAUGAAGUACCUGAAUGAAUUUUAUCAUCAUUUCUGUAUUAUUUCGAUAGAUCAUUUAUGCAUGUGUUGAAAAGAGAUAUGUUUUCAACGUCGUACACCAUAUUAUCGUGCAAAUGAACCUUAGGGCUUUACUGGAUGGAUGUCUGUUUUGUAGAAUUGCAUGGAGUACUAUAGUAAGGAUUUAUUUGAAAUUUCAUUGUAAUUUGUGGGACUAUUAACUAGGUCAGUAUUAUGGUCUUAAAUAUGGCUAUGAUAGUAGCAGCGGCCUUGGCUCUAUGCACAUAUUUUUUGGCCACAUCAGUAGAUUCUGAAAUUAUGAGAACCUAAUUCCUACAUAUUAUUACUUGUAUAGUCUUUCGUGUGCAUGGAAUAUAGCCCAAUUAUUGUUUGAUAUGUAAACCAUAAUGUUCUUUUGGUAUAAACAUCUAUUUUCUCAUAAAAAAUGUUUUGCUGGACAUAAUUCACUCAUUUGACUAAAAAUAAACAGGCUGACUAUUGAAAUGCUCUUAAGAAAAAAAUGUUGGAUGAUUGUGAGCUUCUUAGUGAUCCACCUGCUUUUGUCAACUUUUUUGAAAAUUUUCCAGUCUGUCUGUGAUUCUUGCUAAACUCUUGCACCUUUUUCUGUUCUACCUACAAGGAACAAUUAACUGCACUAUCUGCUAAUACUCUUUAUAGAUUUAAGUUGCUUUGAUGCUGAUUGGGCUGGUGGCAUCUUGAAUUGCCACAUCAUUUUUAGCAAAUUUGCUUAUUUGUGAAUUAUCUCCCAAACAUAGUAACAAGUCUGAUUUUUGGGAAUUUUGUUAGAAGAAAAUAUUUGAAACCAGAAAAAUAUGUAAAAUUUGCUAGAAGUUUGGAAAGAAUUUGGACGGUUAGGAGUGAAAUUUUUUUUGACAAAAAUAAAGUAUGUAAGAUUACUGAAAUACUUGAAUAGCACAGGAGAGGCAAGAACAUUAACAAUAGCGAAAAUGUCGCUCUUGCCACCAACAUAUAGCACGUUUACUCUGUAAUUAUAAAAGUUUCUUACAUUAGUCAUGAAUUAUUUCUUAACUGUAUUGAACAAAUUGUUACAUCUAUAAAAGAUUUGUAAAAAUAAAUAAUCCUAAAUUAGUUUGCCUAUCUAGAUUAGCUCAGAGAAUCAUUUGGCCAAGGAAAAAAUUCAGCAUUUUGCUGUAGCAUGGAGCAUAUGCUCGUGAUAGGAUGUUUUGCACUUGACUUUUCAGUUGUAGCAUUGUGGCCUGCCUGGCCCUUAGUUUGUUGUUGUUUGAGUUUAUGGCUUACCGAAUCUAAUUGGAAUGGGCUUACCAAUUUCUACUUCUACUCCUCUGUGCUAUGACAAAUAAUAUGUUAUUGAGAUUGCUGGCAAUCCAGUGCUUCAUAAUUGCCCAAAUCACAUAUGGAUUGAUAGCUUAAUUGCUUGAGAACAAUAUUUAUGAGUAACUCAUUUCCCCACAUCUCAUACAAUGUACCCUGCUGACUUUGUCAAUAUUCUCAUUCUAAGCAGUGUUACUUCCUCCUCGUUCUAUCUGUCUGAUUUAUUGGGUUUGAAGGUGGUGUUGGUGCUAGUGUAUGGAUGUUCCAUAGAUUGUAUGUUCACAUGCUAUCAUUGCAUUCUUUAUCCUUUAUCCUUGUAAUAUGAGGUUUUCAAAAUAUCAGGCUACUGGCCUAAUUAUGGAUUAAUGUGCAUAAUCUUGUAAGGUAGGAUCAAGCCAGAAAUUGUAGAAGGGGUCAUAUUGGAUCAAAUGUGGAUCAAAUAGCAGAUUGUAGGGUCCUUUCUGUUCUAUUUAGAACAAUAAAAUUGUGAGAAUUGAAUAAUAUCAAAAUACAACUAAAUUUUAGAUUAGAUGAUUGAUUUUUUUUUAAAUUCACAUUUAAAUGUAAGAAAUCUUGUUUGCAUUAUGAAAUGCUUAUGCUCUAUGAUAUAGACACCAUAUCUAGUUGUUCAACAUCUAUAUACCACCAUGUAAGCUCAUAUGCUUUUCUAAUUUGUCCAGAAAAGUAUGAUGACCUGGGUCUGUAGAAUGAAUAAAAAAAAGCUAAAUUGUUAUAUGAUCAUCAUCGUCAUCGUUAGAACUAACAAGGUAGAACCAUUUCCUUUCCCUUUUCUUCUGUAGGAAGAAAUAUAAAUUCCUCUUUCUUUUAAAAAAUAGCUAUAGUUCAUUAUCUGGAUAUUCUAAUAGCUCUCUUAACACAGGUAAGCCCUAAAAUGGCCAGAUAAAGUUUUACUUAUAGUCCUGACAACUUAAUUUAUAGACCUAAUUAAGAAAAGGGAUGCAGUUAAUUUCUUAUCUGAAUUAUCAGAGUGAGAGACACUUAAACCUUAAAACAAAGUCUUGAAUUCAGAAUUCAUCACAAGACUGAAAACAACAUCCAUAAGACUCACAAAUAGCACCUAAAAUUGGCAGUUUUACCUGGAUGCUUGGCACCCAUGGCAAGUGUUCAAGUGUCCCCACAUGUUGGAUAUAUCUGCCUCUGAAACACAGGCACAGAAACAGGAACAUGACAUGUACAUAAUAUACAUGCAUGCAUGCAUACACAUAUGUAAGUAUUUAUGUAUAUGUAUAUGUUGUACACAGAUAUGUAUAGACGCAAUACAUGCAUAUGCACAAAUACAACACAUAAAUACAUGCACACAUGAUGUUAAGAUAUCUUGUGUGUAUUUUAGAUAAGUGAGUUAUUUUAAGUUAUUCGCUUAAGUAUGUUUAAGAUUAGAUUGUGGUAAGUUAAUAAAUAGUCGUGAUAACUUUGUAUUAAAAACUUUAGUAAUGCUUUGGUGUCAAACACUAAACUAGAGUUUUUUGCAUGACACUCCAAAGAAAAAUGAAGUGUUGGAUGCUUCUUGCUGAUUUUAGUAGUCUAGCUGUGUCAUGCUAUAUCAUAUUGUAUCCAAGUGCCCAAAAGUGUCGAUGCUUCUAAAAACCUUAAAAAUGAAGUGUGCAGUUAAAUUAGAAAAUUGGGGCCUUGUCAUUCAUUUUCUCUCUCUCUCUCUCUCUCUCUCUCUCUCUCUCUCUNNNNNNNNNNNNNNNNNNNNUUCUAUUUCUUCUCUCUCUCUCUCUCUCUCUCUCUCUCUCUAUGUGUGUGUGUGUGUGUUGACACUGGCUCACAAAACUCAAAUAAUUUUAUAGGGUUAAUAUCUUGGACUAAUGCUUCAAACAAAUGCAACAUUUUAGGGCUUUAGAGAUCAUAAUAUCUCAACAAUGACCUAGAAGUUUCACUGGGUUGCAAUUGUGGGAACCAUUAGAUGUGACCAUGGUGAAACCAAUGUUACUUAGUAUUUUGUGCUAAGGUUGGCCAUGAAAUUAUUGAGCUGGAGAAAUACAGGUACAGUAACUUUUUAUGGGUGAACUCUUGUAGAAAUUUGGACUUUAGGUAUUUUCAGAGCAAAGAAGUAUUUUUACAUCAUGCUGGUUGAUCACCAAAAAUAAGUUCGCUACAACGUGUAGGUUGCAAUUGGCAAUGCUAUUAUAAAUUUGAACGCAAUUAAUAUUUAAUUUGAAGUUAUUUUCUUUUCCAAACAUGAGAAUAGAAAUUCCAGCUCCAAUGCUGAUUGACAUGGCCUCGUAAUAACUUUGCUCUCUCUAUACUAGAUCAGCCGUGCAAAUUAUCUCAAUGUAUUCCUAGUCACCGAAAUCCAUUAUCUAGCUGACAAGGGGCAAUGUGGAAGGGCUCCAGCGUCGAGAGAUUCAUUUAUCACCUAAUGCAGAGAUUAUAGGUUCCACAUCCUAGCUGAUUUACCUUAGUCCCUGGAAAUUACUGAUUCCUUGUCCCAAGUUCUCCCCAAGAUUUUCUUAAACUCCUCUAUUCCAAUGCUCAUCCUCAACAUAAACUCAUGCUAAUGGUACCUUAUUACAUCGGCAAGGUUUUCUGGCAUCCAAACAGACCCUAAGGUCAAGGGUUUCUCGGACAAGAUUUUUGUUUGUUCUCUAGAACAUGCAAAAAGAAAACAGCAGUAGACAAUCUUUCAUAAUGGAGCUUAUAAAUGAGUGAAAUUUCUUAAUAACACCAAAUAUUUGCUUAUGUGGCUCGUGAGAGUGGGCAAAUAAGCGAAUUCUAGUCAUCUUUGCUGAUGAGUUUCUGCUUUGACUGGUUUUUUGAGAGAAGUUUCUGGCUAUAGUCCAGAGGUUGGUUGUUUGUACUGCCUACAGACUUGUUACCCAUGGCAAUCUUCUACAAAUUAUUUGCGCAACAGUUUUGACAGAUUGAAAUGACAGCUAGUUAUAGAUGGAUGAACCUCUGACAAAAACUAUUGUCUGUUACAGGAGAGCGGUCUUGGGUUCCGAAACUCAAGAAAGAAAGGUGCUGUUAAGAAGAAAAAAGGGGACGUUGGACGAGUCAGACGUGGAAAAUGAGUUGGUUUCUUCUGGAUAAUGUUGACAGAAUUGUGCUAAUGAUGUUGUAUGAUGUAAUGAAAAUACCGAGUGUUCAGUGUAUUCAAGUCCAUGCUGCGGCUACAACAGAAUUGGGCGCGAGCUUUAGUACAUCCAAGUAGUUAAAUUUAUGGGGAAAAUGUGUCACUAUCAUUCUCACCUAACAUGUUUUUUCUUUCAACUUGAAAACUCUGCAGGUUAACGAUUAUCUGAAAUGUUUAACACAAAUUAAAUGCUAUUUUGGAAAUUAAUUUUGUCAGAUGCUAAUCGGAGAGUAGGGCUGAAAUUGAUUGCUACGGAUUGGAUGUAAGUCUAUUCAUAUUUGUAUUCAUAUUUUUUUCAAUGAAUACAAAAAUUGGUAUUAAAAUUUGUUCGGUAUGAAUACAAAUUGGAUAUUAUGCUAUGCUUGUUUAAAAUUCAAAUAUGGAUAUAUGUCAUAUUAUUGGGAUAUAAAUUAGAUUUUUAAGUGAAAUUCAAUUAUGAAAUGCUUACAUAUUCAUAAAAGAUGAGAAUAAAGUUUACCAUCUAGAAUGCAUGUGAUGCAUAAGUAGCUAAGUAAUAGUAUAGCGCAUAGUUAUUAAAUCCACAUGGAGAUUAAUUUGGUCAAGGGUCUAGAUAAUUGGUCUAACAGGGUUUUAAUUAUAGUAUAAAUAAAAAAUAAUCAUGCUCUAUUUGUUUAGAGAACUUCUAAGAGAAAAUUUAUAUAAAUGUAGGAUUACAUUACGGUUUUCAAGUUGUCUAUAUAAAUUAGAAGCAUGAUAAUUGUGUGUAUAUGGGAAUGUGAUCAUUUUGAAUAAAUCUCAUUUAUCAUGAAGAAAGCAAAACGCUUCAAACUAUGCUUGAGAGUUUGUCUAAGACUACAAGGGUUCGCAUGUACAUUUUAAACCAAAUGAUAGGGUUCGCAUCCAAGGUUUGGGUCAAGUCUGGGUUUGGAUAGGAUAGGGUUAGGACAGGUAUGGCUGGAUCAGGACUGGGUCUAGGUUUCAAACAGGUAAAUAUUAUUUGGAAUGCGCUUCCAAAUCAGUAAGUGAGCUUAGGGAUAUAGUUAAAUAGGUUUUAUAAGAGAUGUGCGGAUGUAAAGUUGCAAAGCUUUUAUAAUGACCAGUAUGAUUUCGGUUGGAUAAACUAUCCGGCAAAUCUUAUGAUCCUGCCUUCGGAUCCAUACCCGAUCCAAGGGCCUUUGGGUCUAGAUCCGGUCUGAGUCUGAGUAUGGGUAGGGUUUAGAUCGGUUAUGGGGCUGCAAGAAUUAGUGACACUUCUAAUAACGCGGGAGGGGCAUAUCUAGUAUCUACGAAGGAAAAUAUUCAAGCCGCGCACGGGGUGGGAGAUAGAGGGUGCAAACUGGAUUGGGUUAGCCUAUACCCUUUUGGAAGAGGAGGAGAGCUUAGGUCACAAAUUUUGGGCUAGAUUAGAAUUAGAUUGAGCUUGGGCUAGCGAUUUAUGAGCCUGAUAGUUCAAUUUGGCUUCACUCAAUGCGUGCAUUGCAUGGUUGCAGAGGAAAAUGACAGGAUUCAUGCCUUUGGUUUGUUACUAAAACCAGAGAUCUGGAGCUUUUGGUGUAUAAUUAAUCUUUCUUGAUGCAGGCAUAUAAUUAAUCUUGUAUGCUAUAAUGGGUGAGACUAUUUAAUUUGUAUAAUUUAAAUUCAUCCAAUUGCAAUUCGGAUAGCUCAGAUUCAUAAGUACUUUGCAUUCCUCUAUAAACUUUGUCUGGCCAAGUGGGCAGCCUGUCCAAGCUAGCAUUGGCUAGUCUGAUUUCAAAGUUAGGACUAUAAAAUAUGGUUUCUAGAGCCUUGGAUCGCAGGCACUUAAGAUCAGACCAUUCCUCUCAAAAUUAAGUCACUGUGGGGACUCCCAUCAGCUACUUAUCCGAUGAGCCGAACACCCACAGAACGCUCUUGCAGAGCCAGUAGAGUUCAGACGCCCAAUUACUUGCAACCAAAUAGACCCCUGUGGUAAUCCCUAUAUCACAAAUCCUUAUAAUAAUGCAAUUAAAAUUUUAAUGAAAACAUAUGACUGCUUCCAUGCGAGACAUAGGAAGAAUGUCAGAUGACAAGUUGAUGUAUAUUGGAUUAUGUUGUGUUAAGAAAUAGAAUUUACUUAUGCAAAAAAGCGAGCAAGCUUUGCUUUUUGUGGCACAAACUAUGAUGGAGAGAAGUAGAAAUUCGGUAUAUGAGUAAACUAAAGAACCUACACUAAGGAGUUGCAUGGCCGAGAAAACUUUCAAGUAUUUUUGGUUGGGAUUGUUUCAGAUUUCCGGCAGAAAACUUUGCUGAGUAACCGCCGAUACCUCGCUGAGCCGUUGUAUGGCCUAUAGAUCUUUUUCUCUUCCUCUUUAUCAGUCUUCUAGUCGUCAUCGCCACCUUUGUUCUUCUUCUCGUCCAACUGACCAAUGUUGCUGUGAGAUGUUGCCGCCGCCGCCGCCGAGAGGGUCACCACUAUGUGCGUGGGUGUGGUCGGCUUCCGCUCUUUUUGGAAGAGAACCAUGAAUUUCUCUCUCUCCCUCUUGCUUUCUCUCCUGCUCUCUCUUUCUUACUCUCUUUUUCUCUCUCUAGAUGCUUUAAUGGGCUUGAGAAAAGGACACCACCGCGUAGGGCGGUUGAACCUUGGAGGGAUCCCAGGCUAACCACGUGCUACUAGGGGCUCCGAGCUGGUAUUGCAUAACCGAAGAUCUCAGACAGACAUUGUACGACCAUUUAUUCAUCCAUUUGUAAUAUUUUAAUAUUAACUAUGUUUAUUUAUGAUUAACCUGAGAAUGAGAUCUAAUCUUGUACGAGAACAACUAUCUGGGCAAGAAGGCAUUGAAUAGAAUACCCAGCCUCCAAGUUCAAAGAUCAAGUGGAUCGGUAUCCAUUGUAAUUGAGUCUAAGAUUAGUAAAGAUAAAAAUUCCUACACACAAUCACCCAUAUGGAUAAUAUGCAUUUUGUAACAUGUGUCGAUGAUUGUGAAUUUUGCAUCAUUUGUCAAAUGAUUGUUGACUAAUUUCUUAUAUGAAUAUAUAAAAUUAUAAAUAUAUGUUUCUUUAUUGUAUGGGCGCAUCAAAUAUCAAUGAUUUGAAUUAUUUGGAAUAUAAUUUCGUUUAUUUGGAGUAUGAUGAUAAUUAUUUUGAAAUUUGGCAAGCAAUAUAAUAUAAAAUUAUAUUUUCUCUAAUUAGAAUGAAAUUGAAUAAUUUGAUUGUUGAGUAAAAAAAAUUGACUAACCAUGUUAUAGAUUACCGGUCAUGGGCUGAAUCAUGAUAUAUUGAUUUACCACCGCAGACCGAAGAGCGGAUAUUACGGUUUGCCACCACGGACCAAAGCAUAUAUAUUAUGGUUUGCCGCCAUGGAUCGAAGUAUGAAAUUAUGGUUUGCUAGUCAUCGAAUGAAGUAUCACCACGGAUAGUCCAAAUCAGAAAGAUAAUUGCUGAAUGAAAAUCUAUAUAAUAGUGAAAGAUAAGAUCUAACAAAAGUUUUAGACUAAUAAUAUAUAUAAAAUUUUUUCUUGAAGCAUUGUAUAUUAGAUGGUGUACAUUUAUAUAUACAUAUUUAUAUAAAUUUAUUUGAGCUAUGUCGAAUAAUCAGUAUGAAGUUUUAUGAUUUUCUUGCAUUUUGACAUGAUUUAUAGCUAAUAUCUAUUUUAACUUUACUUUAACUAUACUGAAGCGAAUAUGAAAAAUUAUUAUUAGAUUAUAAAGUUCAUACCACCUCUUCUUUUUUUUUUUUCUCUCGAUUAGAUUGGAUAUAAAGUUCGAGCAACGGUGUUAUUAAUGUAGAUAGUUUAUUUUUUGGUAUCAGAUGAAUGCUCAAAUUUUGUAAUUGAGUAAACUUUACUAUUUAAUAAUGAUGAAUUUAUUUAGUACAUUAUGGUUAAACUGUAUGAUUGAUUAUUCUAGUGUUAUUGCAUUAUCUUAUAAGUUUUACAUGAUUUCUAGAGCAUUGCUUUAAGGUUCAUGCAUCUAUGUCACGACCUAGAUGAUGAGUUUGGGGCGAGACCUUAAUACAUCCAAUAAAAAGUGGAUACAAGAGAAAAGAAGGCACCAUUCGUUGAAUGAUUAGCAUAAUCAAUCUAAAUGAUAAUAAAAUGACUAAAUUUAAGCUGAUUUGAUUAACCGAAGCAAUAAAAUUGCCAAAGAAAGCAUGCACAAGCUGUCCAGCUCUAUGUCGACCAACUAGCAAAUCCAAAUGAUGAACACACCCCAUACAUUAAACCAGCUAUCUUCAACAAGAGAUCUAUUAGUUCUUAUUUUUAUCUGCAUAUGGAAUAGGGUAAAAACUAAAACAAAAUAGACCAACCAUGUGGUAAUUAUACAGGACACACAAACGAUACAGAGAAUAGUGUUAGGUAUUUGGUAAUGAAUGAAGAAGAAAAAUGCCUUUACUAGGAAACGAGCAGGCCCUGAAACCACUCGUGGAACUUGGCCCCAGGAUAUUUGUAAAGAUUUGGAACCGUAUACUCUGAAAAAUAUCAUGUUAAUAUGACCAGAUAACCAAUCAUGACAAAAAAUUAGAGUACACCUUACGGUAAAAUGAACCAAGUCAAUCAGUAUGCAUGUUGUCUGGAGUACUAGAGUGAUCCGAGCCCCUGGUAUCUUCCAUUCUUGAUGGAGAACCCUUGUGCCUCAUUAUAUUUCUAAAGAAUCUGGUAAACAUCGAGAUAAACAUGGAAAGAAUACAUGAACAUGAAUAAAAGAUAAACACAGAGAAAAAAAAAUACUGAAAAAAAUUAUAAGAGCGAAAAAUGAUAAGUAUAUUAAAUACAGUUAGACAUUGGGGACAGAAUACAUACAUGUCCAAUUCUUCUGUCCUUUUUCUGAUUUCAUGGGACCAUAAUACUGGGUCUGCAUUCUUCGGCAACGAGUCCUGUUGCUGAGACAUCUCAUGUAGCCACUGUUCAGCUUUCGUGCAUUCAUUUAUGACCUGAAAUGCCAAAUAACAAUAGGGUAUUGGAACUGCAGCCUGCAACACAACCAACUAUCGAUUGGAUUACAUGGAACUUACAGCAUCUCGUUCAUAGGUCACCAAUGAUUUUACAGCCAUUCUGUGCUCAACUAUGCAGUUUAAAAGCUCCCUUGUAGCUUGAGCUCUAGCUUCUUCAUCUUUGAAUCGGUUUUCAACAGGAUCUACCAACUAUUGUCAUCAAAAUACAGGGACUUAUGUAAGGUUAUCAAUGGCAAAACACCAAUCCAUGGAAGCAUUGCACAAGUUUAUACAAAUGAAUACAGACUAGAUGAUGACUAAUAGAAUGUAGAAAGACACACCACAAAUAUCAGUUAAAGAAGAACAGCACAACAAAGAUAUCGCUCAAACAGUGGAACCUAUAUCAACGAAGUCAAAAGAAUUUUCUUGCUUAGACAAACUACUCUACCCCAGAAUUCUAGUCUGUCUUGAGGACUAUCUUACAACAUGGGAGUGGAUAGUUUCUUUGCUUAUUUCUUUUAUCAUAAAACUGUGUCUGCUCAAGAGUAUUCGUGUCUAUGGAUUGUAUUUAGGGCCUAUUCAGGUAGAGAAGUAGCUAUUUAUCCCAUAAGACCAACAUUUAAAUAUAAUUACAGUUUGAAUUCUAGACAGUAAUAAUAUUGAGGUUAAGAAUCAAAUUUGACAUUCUUAUAUAUGCAUUUGGAGUAGAUUAACAGCAUAACUCAAAGUAUUUAAAUAUUGUAAUGCUAUAGGCUCGUCUUUCACAUGGCUGGAUGACCAACCAGUAUGUUUUUUCCCUCUUUGAGCUGCUCCACAUUUGUUCGUUCUUCUGCUUUUCUUCUUUUCCCCUUUUCUACAUCCUUCAAAGAUUAAAGUACCUGUCCAAACUUAAAGAGCUCUUAGCUCUUCCUGAUACAUGCUCAUACCAUAUUGUUGAUUCUCCAUCACUUUGUCCCUAAUUCGAGCAACUCCUACAGCUCCUUUUAUUUACACACUUCUCAUUCUUUCAUAGUUUUUACCACCAAUCCAUCUUAACAUUCUUAUUUCCACUACACUCAACUUGUUUGUUUGGAGCCUCUUUUCUUCACAAUGUUCUAAAUCAUAUAUUACACACCUUUUUCCCACUCACUAAAAUUUCAUUUGAAUUUUGAAGGCAUGGCGUUGAUGACAUAAUACUCCAGAAGCUCAACUCCAAUUCAUCCAACUAGCUCUUAUUCUACUACAUCCGUUCAUUCUCAGAUAGUGAAACUAAUUGCUUUGAGGUACCUAUUUUCCAACGACCAUGACUGAAUUCCAUUCCAGUUUAUCUUUGUUCUUGCACCAAUACAUAUCAAAGUGAAAAUUAGAUAGGAAAAGAUGAUAAACACUCCUAUAGGCCAAAACAAAGCAGUAAUAGCAUUGGCUCUACUUUCCCAUUUUAAACCAUGCUCAAUUACACACAACAACAACAAAAAAAAAGUCAAUUCCAAUUGUUCAAAGGUGAAAGGACGGGGAAAAUAUAAUAAGUUUCCCACACUACUACUAGUAUAUAGCUCCCUACAAUCUAAUAGUGUUAAUACAACCAUAAUGAACUUUUAAGAUGUAAACAUAGUUCAUGUCCCCUUAGUUUCGUUCAUGAUCCUUUAGCUUGUUUAUGUUGCUGAUAUGAAAAAGAAGUCGUAUAAUACAAGAAUUUAAGUGUCCCUAGCACUGGACAUUUUGGCUAGAGACCACAUUGUGCUCUGCUAUACCAAACCAAAAAUAUAAAAAGGGCUUGAGAGCCCUUUUAUCUAGGUAUGGAGCAAUAUCAAGAUGUACCAAAUUUGCACCAGUCACUACUGGCUUGAUAAUAAGUGGCUCGCUUGGUAUCCAUAGCUGAUCAAGCACUAGUAUUGGCUUGACAUGUGCUGGAACUUGAAACCAUAUUAUGAUACUAAUUUGUGAGAGAAAUUACUUGAAUCUAAUAAAAGAAUGUAUUAAAAGUAAUCAACUCUACUAUGCCAGAUGAUUAUAAAAAUGUUGAAUUUUAAAGAUUAGCCAAACAAUAUUUGUUCAUUUAACACAACUCUACUCACGAGUAUAAAGUAAUCGCAUUCGAUAUACACUUAAUAUUGUAAAAUAACUAGUGCAUCUAAGUGUACUAGUUGCAAAUCUUUUUAUAGACUUGCAUAUCUUUUUGUAACAAAGGCUACAAAAAGACGAAAAUAGAAAAAUUGAUUGGACAUGAUGAAAUCCCUAAUGAGUUUGGAAGUGUUUAGGUGAUGUGAAAGUAUUUCGGUUGACUAAUUUAUCUAAUAAGAUUUUGAAAACCAAGAAAAAGCUUGAUGAAUGGGAGAAAAACACUAUUACUGAUUUAUAAGAAUAAAGGUGAUAUUUAAAAUUAUUCUAAAUAUCAUGGUAUUAAACUCAUGAGCCUAUGAAACUUUGGGAGAGGGUGAUUAAGCAUAGAUUGAGGUAUGAUACAAAAGUAUUAGAGAAUAAAUUUGGUUUUAUACCAAGAAGCUUUGACUUUGAAAACCAUUUUUCUCUUUCGAAGGUCAAGGAAAAAGUAUUGAGAAAAGAAACAAGAUAUUCAUAUGAUUUUUACUGAUUUAGAGAGAGUCCUUUGAGAAGUCUUAUGAUGGAUUUUAGAAAAGGAGUUUCCGUUAGACAUCAAUGUGGUUAAGGCCAUGAAUGAUGGAGCGAUAACUAAUGUAAGAAUUACUAGCGCUAAUACUAGUAAGUUUCCAAUCACAAUAUAUUUACAUCAAAGAUUUGCUCUAAAUCCUUACUUUUUUGCGCUAGUUAUGGAUGGGCUUAUUAUAAAAAUUCAAGAUGAUAUUCUUUGGUGCAUAUUAUUUACAGAUAAUAUCGUUGUAGUGAAUGAAACUAGGGUCGAGGUUCAACAUAAGUUGGAAUUACAAAGGAGUGCAUUAGAAUCCAAGAGUUUUAGGUUAUGUAAGACCAAACAUUGAAUGUAAUUUUAGCAAAAUUAGAAAUAAAGAUGAAGAUGUAGUAAAAAUUGAUAAUCAUGAAGUUCUUAAAAAUAAUCAUUUUCAGUAUUUGGGAUCAAUUAUUUAUAUGGAUGGAUUGAAGAAGAUGUCAUCCAUAGAGUUAAAAUAAGUUGGAUGAAAUGAAAAAUACAACUAUGAUAUUAUGUGAUUAUAGGAUACUUGUCAAGUUGAAGAAAAAAAUUUAUAGGACAACAUACGACUUAGCUAUACUUUAUGAUAUACAAUGUUGAGCAGUUAAAACCAUGUGCACAAGAUGAGCAUGGCUGAAAUGAGAAUAUUGAAAUAAAUGCGUGGUCAUACAAGAAAAGAUAGAAUAAAAAAUGAAGUCAUUUGUAAAAAAAUGGAGGUAGCACCAAUUAUGGACAACUUCAGAGAACGGCUUAGAUAGUUUGGACAUAUACAAUGUAGGCCGAGGGAUACAUCAAUAUGAAGAAGUGAUUUGGUGCAUGCAAAAGGAAUGAAGAGGUUUAGAGGUAGACCGAAAAUCACAUGAGAUGAAGUGGUAAGAAAGGACUGUUAGAUGUAUGCCCUAGAAGUCAAUCUGGUGGACACAUUAUUAAUUCUGGGACAUAAAUUUGUACUUGACUUUAUUAUUAUUGAAUAAUAAAUGAGCAUCUUUUCAUUUAUAUUGUUUAUGUGUCUAUGAAUCGUCCAAGAAAUUAAUAAGAUGAUGAUACAUAUUCUCAAGAGUUGAGAAUUUGAGCCAUGUAUUAUUGGUGAUUAAUUUCUAAAUGCUUCUGGUCAAUGGAACAUCACGAGGACGGUGAUCAAUCCGAUCAGUGCACAGAUCGCUUUCCUUAUGGAUGGACGAGACUCGAGUCCACAGUGGGGACACUGAAGUGAUAGUGCAGGUGCUUGUUAGAGAACAAGGGUAUUGAGCGUGACCAAGACAAGAAGUCACUUGGAUGACUAUCCACUCGUCAGUGACUUGCUUGAUGUUGCAGUAGUGUGACUGGUCCUUUGACCUGCGGUGCUUCGGCUAUUCACAGUGAGGUUAUUGGAGUUUGACUGCACAUAUACAUGGUCUCUAGUCAUAUGGGGUCUUUAUUGUGUAGAUUGGCUGCAGUAGGUUCACUAUAUGAGUAGGGUAUGCACUUACAUGGAAUCUAUCGACCUUAAUAGAAGAGGAGUGAUGAUUUAUUAGACUGAGUUCUAAGACCUUGGCCAAGACAGUAAUAUAAAGUGGAGAAAGAGUUUUCCACUAUCGAACUCAAGUCGAAUAAAUCUAGACAUAUGACAAACGACGAGGUUUGACGAGUUAUCCAUGACCUCCGGUCUGUAGGGAUCCACGAUAGAAGGACUGUAUCAUACGAUAAUUGCACCUAGAGGUUCAUCAUUCUAUUCUGCUGGGUAGCCACUACAUACUGCUAGGUGUCACUGGUGGAUGGUGAGACUCACAGGGAUCAUCUCGAUAGUCGAUAAUCCCUGGUGAGUUGAGUUGAAAUUGUUUCAACCCAUUGAAAGGAGUUUUCAAUGAUAUUGUGAUAGAGAUCGCAAUAUAUCUCACUACCAGUCAGNNNNNNNNNNNNNNNNNNNNACACACAUUAGAGGUAUUGACCAAUCCGAUGGUUGAAUUGUGAUUAAGAAUCACAUAUGAUCAAUUAGAUUGAUAAAUGGUUAACCCGCUAAGAGUUAGUGGUUAGAAGAAGGAACAAUUGCAAUCGGAUUGCAAUUUAAUUUAAUUAAUGGAUUUAAUUAAUUGGACUUGAUCAUGAGUCCUACUUGGAGUGGAAUUCAUGAAGUCCUAAUUGGAUUAGGAUUUUAAAUUAAAUUAGAGUCCUACUUGGAAUAGGAUUUCUAAAGUCCUAAUUGUCUUAGGGCUGAAAUUUGAACAAGUCCUAAUUAGAUUAGGAUUUUGUCAAGUCCUAAUUAAUUUUAAUUUUAAUCUAAUUAAUUAAAUGACUCCUAAUUUGAUGAGGAUUGAAGAGUUCAAUAGAGUCAUGGUUCGAUUAAAUCCUAAUUAGAUUAGGAUAAGGAGGAAAUUGAAAUGAGUUCAUAUAAAUCCCAUUUUGAAUGGGAUUAGACCCAUGCAUUAGACCCAAACCAUCUUACCAAUUAAUUUGAUUAAAUGGCUAAUUAAAUGCGAUAUGAGGGAGGGGCAUGGGCCCCUCCCCUUGGGAAUUGCGUGGAAGAAAAAGGAGGGGCGUAAGCCCCUCCUUGCUGCCGAACCAAAGUGAUAAGUGUGAGCUCCUAAAAAAUAGGAGCUCAUCCUUAUCACGUUGAGAAUUAAAAGGAGGGGUUUUGGCCCCUCCUCUCAUGCUAUUUCUGGGAGUUCACGGCAGCAAGUCCCCAUCUCCAUUCCUCCUUUCACCGUAAGAGCAAGGGAAGAAAAUAAAGGUGGUUUCAUCUCCUUNNNNNNNNNNNNNNNNNNNNNNNNNNNNNNNNNNNNNNNNUAGCCUUCUCUGCAAGGGAGCUAGCACCCUGGAAAGAUCCAAAGGCUUCGAUCGACUCACUACUUCGUGUGGAUACCUGUAGAGGCCGGACGCGUGUGCGGCUUCCACUGAACUUUCAUCAAAUACCACGUAAAUCAGAUUUGCGGAGACCAUUUACCCGCACAAGAUGAAGAUCUGAUCUUCUUAAUCAUGAUUUUAAAAUGAUUUAAUAAAAAUUUAAUCCUGAUCUAUCUACAAAAGGUUUUAAAAUACGUUCAUGCGAUGAACGGGAUAUGCACAUGUCUUUCCGCUGCAUAUCUGAAAAUUUUUGAAUUUUCAGCGGCAUGUGACAGAUCCUAACAAGGACUUGAAAUCUAACAUGUUUUAUAUAGUAAUCUAAUAUUAUUUAAAUAUUUCCUAAUUACUCAAAUUUUUUCUUGAAAAGUUUUUUCAAGAUUCUAUCCCAACGUUUCUUUAUAAAAAUAAGCCAUCAUAAACUUUAGGCAGAUUUAACAUGUAUUCAUGAUCCUAAUAAACCUUUCACAAAAUAUAAAUAAUUUUUUCUACUGAAUUCUGCUUACUCAACAAGAGGUUUCCAAUAUUUUCAUAUAUAUUUGUUCAAUUAACCUAUUUAUCGCUGAUAUGCUUCUUUUAGUUUCUCUUAAUUCUUUUUUUACAAAAUCAAAACUUUUAACCCUAGCAAACAACCCAUCUGUGACUUUAUUGGGAAUAAAGUAAGAAAGGGCCAUGAAUGAUCUAAAAUAACGAAACAAUGCUUUAAUAGAAAUUUAGACGUUUGGAGCACAAUUAUAAGGGUGACACAUGAGAAUAUGCCACAAAUCUCAAAUAAUAGAAAUUUUCACGCAUCACUGGAACCAAAAACCUUGGUGUGUUUGGAAAAUUACUGACGAACAAACCAUAAUGAUAUAAACUGCAAAUGUGAUAACACAAAAUUAGUGUCUCACAUGGUACAUGAGGUGAGCCCUAGCAAAGCAAGAGAAAGUCAUAAAUAAAGCAUAUGCAGUAUAUGACCCUAUAAAAUGAGCAGAAAUGAGAUUAGAAUACAUAACCAAGUCACCAGAUCUAAACAAAAUAAAACUAUGAGCACUAGAACCUGACUAAAUAUAAAAUGCAACAAUCUUCAAAGACAAAAUUGUAGCAUAAAAGGAAGAGAACCAUUCAUGAAAGACAAGAAAGGGGCGUGCAAAUGCCUAAACUGAUAUUUACUAAACUGACAUGACAUCCCAGUAGUAUGAACCAAACAAAGGUAUAAUAAACACAGGAAAAACAUGGUGAAAAUGACUUGUAGACUGGUUAAUAGUGAUAGGAUAGGGUAUAAUGGAAUCAUAUCAAGAGAAAGGCAAAAAAAACCUGUUAACAAAUUGGCCACGUAUAAAUGAAUCAGAAGCCAUAUGGUGGCUCGUCUCACAGUCAUUAUCUUAAGCUAUCAAAUCCAUCUGUAGCUAGCCUUGAAGGUUUUGAAGAAUUAUAAGCAAACCUUCGGUCCAGUAGAAACCAAACGUGAUUUUUCUCUUCCAAAGGGAAAAAAGAACAAAAAAAAAGGAACAAUAAGCAGAUGAAUUUAGACUAAAGUUGAACAAGACUCAUAACAUAGGGAAGAUGAAAGGAAGAAUUUAAAGGAGACAAAAGAGGGGUUUGGAAUGUAUUAGCUAGCCAAACACAUUCACGAUGACAAAAAAUAUCCUUUCAUUAAUGCUGGCUCCUAAGUGCUCAAAAUGAAUCAAUAAACCUUGUUUGCAUGUAAAUAACAGUUCUGACCAUUAACAUUAUGGUGCACCAAAUAAUGCAAUAAAAAAAUGACCUGAAUAUGACAUACAACAAGUGCAUGUAUUAUGGAACAACAAUACAUCAUAAUAUCAUACGGUGGUCAAACCUGGAGCCUUCUAGAGGAUGGAUAUAAUCCAAGGACAAUAUUAGACAUUGAAAAUAUACUUCAUUAAAACUAGUGGUAGGAUGGGGACAUCGUAUAAUUGACAACAGUUUGCUCAAUGAGCUAAGCACCAGUGGGUUUGAGAUUGGUAUGAGUGGAGCUCUAAAAGGUCAUCUAGGGGUAUUAUCGGAACAAGGAGUCCCAAAGUGUGGGCUUGCUUCUCCCACAGCUUCUAGAAAAGCAUCCUUAUGAAAUCCUAGGGANNNNNNNNNNCCAAGAAUUUGAAGGGGAAAAAGAAGUUAUGAAACAAGAAUAAGAGGAUGACAUAGUAGAGGUAAAGAAGCCUGAUCAAAUGCCAUAAUAUGAAGGCAGGUAUUUUUCAACUAUGUACUUGAUAACAUUAUCUCAGAGGAAAGCAGUUGUUUCAUGUCUAGGACACAAGGUAAAAGGUGGACAAAUAAAUACUAGAGGUAGUAACAUGUGAUCUUAGGCCAAUUAGUCAUCUUUGCUAAGAGAAUUCAUAGUUAUAGAAUACCUACUACUAGCAACCAUGCUAGACUACACGUAGAGCUUGAUAAGAAAUCUAGGUUCCACAAUAUCUGAUGCCUAACAAUUUCAAAGAUGCAUGGGCAUAGUAAUCUAUUCACUGACUGAUCAGAUGCCAAAGUGUUAAUAACUAAGUAGCAUGGGGAAUAGCAACCUCGAAUAUUAGUCAGCACUCAGCACCACAGAGAAGGGGAAACCAGCAUGAUGGUUCUACCAUUUUCAUCGUUAAAUGAGGCUUCAAAGGUAACAAACCAUGCCACCUAGUCACUUGUACCAACAUACCAAUGUUUAGGAAGAAAAGGUAUUCCUAAAAUAUAUCAUGAUACAAGAAAGCAAUGAGAGGAAAACAAUUCCAAAGCCACUUUCGAAGGAGAAAAAGUCUCAAGGAGCUGCCACUAGAACAGUCAGUGACUAAAGGGAGCAAGAAGAAGCACUCAAAAGAGACUAAAGAUGAGCAACAGAGAGGUAAUAAUUUCCAAAGAAAAUCAAGAGACGGCAUGCAUAAAGGACUUAAUUGGUGAGAACUAGCUGAACUCAAUAUAAAUUAAAAAGGGGAACCAUGAAAAAGCAUAAGAAAAAGUAGCAAAAAUAAUAAUCCAUCACAUCUCUAAUAUUACUCAAAUAUGAGUGCGCAUGGAUUACUGGAGAGCAGAUGAGACUAAGGGAAAAAGGGCCUAGAAAAGAAAAGUUUGCUAAAAUAAAGAAGAGACAUUUAGGAAGCCAAUAAAAGAGUUCAUCGAUUGAUCGAGAAGACCUUAAUGUACAGUGGAUUUUAAGUUAAAAGAUAUUUAAAAGGCAUGUACCACUUAGAAUGCUACCUAGGAUCUCUACAACCAUCUCCAAAAGAACUGGCUUCCCCAUGCACUAUUCACCUACUUGAAGCUUUGGCUGAACUAGGCAAAUAAGUCCAGCAAACAAUCAAAUAACACCAACAAAAACCUAUCAAAACAAAACUAGCGGAAUGCAGAAUUGAAGUUUAAAAUUAAAGUAU